This 63392-nucleotide long non-coding RNA is filed under the name Musa acuminata (dwarf banana). Its description in RNAcentral is "long non-coding RNA (MACU_LNC008486)". Lineage: Eukaryota; Viridiplantae; Streptophyta; Magnoliopsida; Zingiberales; Musaceae. The record is from RNAcentral.
AUGAAAAGGGCUGUUCCAGAAUGCAACUAAGAGGUGAGCUAGUGCGGCUAAGCCUGAUGCUACGGAUACUAAGGCUGAAGCUGCUAAGGGAGAGAAUGGAACAGUGCCUGCUAAGUCCGAUGCUAAUGGUAUUGAUGCUAGGUAUUGCUGCUAAGACUUAUGCGGUGUCUACUGAUUCUAGGUAUUACUCUAAGAGGUCCUAUGUUCGUGGUGCUAAUGUCGUUGCGCAAGACAAGACUUAAGUGUGUUAGAGAGUUCAGAGCUCACCGAACAAGUAAGGGCCGAGCUGAAGAAGAGACGAUACUUAAGUAAAAGGAGCUACUGCGAGCGGAACAGAGAACUCAACCAAUUUAUGGCAUUUGAUUGUUUGCACCACUGUAGGGAUAGAAUUAUGUAACCAAACAGCCUCUAUACCUGCCAAAUAGCUGACUCGCAACUCGGGGUGUCGAUAUGAGUGAUUAAAGCUAUGCUAUGGUUGGUAACUCCACUUCUUGUCCUGCAGGAGCUCCUUCCCCUUGUCGUUUCGAGUUCCGUUAUUGGCUUGACGACGUCUAUGAGAGAGGUUAAGUUCUUGGCUUGAUCAGUGUAAUCGUAUAUUAAGUAAUUAAGGGUCAGAAUAGAAUCAGAGGCGACGGGGUAUCAACAGGGUUGCGCAAGCAAAGUUAAUGAGUGCUAUCCAUAUAAAUCUCAAAUGGAAUGCUUGUUCGCAAGUCAGCGCUAAAGGAAUCUCAGCAGCCCGCUCAAAGUACUUUACUUCAGUGGAUUCUCUUAAAGCAAGGGUGCAAGACAGUAUAGACAGAGCGAGGCCCCCAGGUAGUAAGAGUUCAAGAAAGGAGUCUAAGCCUAAGAGUCAAAGAGUGAAGUCAAAGGCCUUGAGGGGAUCCAGUUUUCAAUCAAGGAGUAGCAGACUGAUGGAUAGACACAGGAAUGUCAGUAACAAGCCUAUUCGCAGUUUUUGUUUCCCCAGAUUUCGAUUCCGGAGUGGAAGAAUGAGCUAACGGAGUAGUUACUUUUAUCUUGUGCUAAUGAGUUAAAGUCUGAUGCUUACAACUAUGAGUAUUAGAGCGUAGGAGCUCUGUUCGAAACACGGAAUAGGGAAAUAUAGACUUUCAGCAAGGAGAGGAGAUGGGUCUAAAUGGGACUACUACUUGUUGGGGCACUGAUGGUCUGUGUUCCUAGACUUAACGAGCAGAUUUGGUCAUUAUAGAUCUAAUUUCUUUCUUAUUAAGAUAGAAUUCUCGUAGGAAUGUUUUUCACUGUAUCCGUAGAGGGUGAAGAGAAGUAGUUUCUCAUCUUUUUGAUCAUCUGUGUUUCUCGAUUCCGAAGGUGUUAAGCCCACUCACUACUACUAAAAAGGUGUUGGUCAAGAAGGAGCCAAUGGGGUGGAUAACUUACUUGGGGAAUUGGUCAUAUCGGAAUAGGAGAUUUCAUGGGGCGAGCAACUCUUACUUUCAAACGGAAACCCUGAAACUGCAUUCGAGGUAAAAUACAAAGGAAGCAGGUGCAUUCGAGGUCAAAUAGAAAGGAAGCAGGCGCAAGGGAAAGGGAACAACCAUAAAGAAUAGGGUGCAAAAUGCACUAUUUAACCACUUUAGAAGUGUUAUGGCAAAUUACUCAUGUCAUACCCCAAUUGGGGCCUAUAAAUUCAUUAAUUACUAUAAUCUUUCUGGGCUAAUAAAGUCUACAUCGACAACUGAAUCAUAAGUGGAAAGUAUUGUUUCGGGUGUUGGUGCUUACGCUCUAAGUCUGCAAGUGAGGUUUGAUAGACCUAAGUGGUCAAGUGCCGGUGCUUCUGAAAGUAGUAAUCCAAGUUGUAGUGCUUUUGAAUCAGUAUGAGUUUACAGAGGAGAAGUAGAUUAGUUUACCCUUCUUUAAGUAGUGGUGCCUGUUGUCGAGUUAGAGUUGCCCUUAUAUUAAGUCCUGGGUUUCAGUAUUACCUUCCUUGCGUUGAGGCUGUCACUGCUGCUUCUCAUAACUACUAUAGUAAUAGAGAAUCAAAGUAGUAAGUAUCGGAUUGGAAAUAAGGAGUGAACUAACGCUUCUCAGCAUUAAGCUUAUAACAAGGAGGGAUUGUUUUAGGUUCAGUAGUGACAGAAACAGAUAAAUCAGUAGAAGCCUAUGCCCGUGGGGAAAGGAUCAGAAGCCAACUCAAGGGACUUCAACUCUCAAGUAAUAAUUCCAUAAAGAAUGCAGAACCAAACGGGUAAGUCAAAUGUUGAUCUAAGCCCGAUAUGUACUUGUGUUGAUCUAAGUCCGAUCCGAUAUGUACUUGUUGGUCUAAUCACGUGACACGCAUUAAAGGAAUGCGAGGGACAACUACAAGAGUGGAAGAGCCAAAGGUCAAAUACAUAAUUGGAGAUAGGAAUUUGCCAGAUAUAGUUUUGUAUUUAAUAGAAACAUAGGGUGUAAUUAGGGAAUCAGAGCCAGAGGUAUUGUUGGCGACAGAAAGAGAUAAGGUAGGUUUCAGAUCAGAAUAAGAUAAAGCGGAGUAUGUGUUUGGGAGCAAGGGAAGGCGUGCUAACUAUAUCUAUGAAAACAGAAUUUCAGGCAUAUGGGUGGAAGGCUCACUUCUCUGUUUCACUCCGCUUCGAUCAGGACUGCGAUAAGGUAGUGUUCGACUAACCUCUGAUGGGGUCAAGCAAGGCUUCAACGAAGGAAUGGAGAUCCAGAUAGUCUAAUAAGAUAAAGGAAUAUCCGUUUGAUAACUAUGUUUGUCGUUUUUAGGGCCCAUCUUUUGGGGCGAUAUUGAAGAAUCCGAGGUUAACAUAGGAUAUGAGAUCAGGAGAGACAGACAAAAACCAGAGCUAGGGAGUUUUGAGAUCAAGAGCGGUGGACUCGAGCUAACAAGUAAGGCUUGGGCUGUAUUAUCAUAUAGGUAAGUUUGUAGAGUUCGGAGUUUGUUUACUAUACUCUAAUUAGUGACUAACCUGUAACAUUCCAUUCUUAAAGCAACUGGUAGAUCAGGAGAAGCGAUGGAAUUAAUAUACUUUCGUUUUCGCCUUGUUAGCACUGGUGGUAUUCUAUGCCAUGAGCUAAAGCCUUAGUUUAGAGUUGCAUUCCUUAGGAUGAGUUUGAUUACUUAUGCCGGUGUUUUAGCCUGUUUUCUUUGUUAGAUGACGUUACUGCUAAAUUGAAUCCUGUGUUUCUUGGUUCUUAGAAGCUCUAUUCUUAUUGGACUCUUUCUUUUAGCGAUCGUGAACUCGUUCGUAGUUCGGUCGUGCACCAACUAAUUAUGAUUUCUCUAUUGAAUCAUGAAAUGUACUUAUUGAGUUAUGGUAUAGUAACACUUAUUAGUGAUUCAUUAGCAAAAUAAGGUAAUAAAGGGGUUAAUAUCGCAAUGCGUAACACAUACUAUUCUAAACACUCUUUUUGGUUCACUACCAAUUCUUUUGACUACUGUACUGAGUUCGAUUCUCGUACUAGAAGAGCUAGCCCCUUUCUUGUUAGCAGAGGAAUCUGAUCUGGAUGUUAGUAAGUCGGAUUUCUAUUUCUCUGGGGAAAAGGCAGAGUUUGCUACGUACUAACGAGAAUGAAAAACAGUAGAGUAUGGGCGCCCGGGAAGCCAGGUUCAUGCCUUGCGUCUGUAUUUAAAGAAUUCAAAGUAAGGCUGUUUGCUAGUGGCUCUAUUCUGUAUUUGGUAGUCCAAUCGGGUAGGUGAGAAAUCUUUGUUCUCAGUGGCAACACUGCCGCACGCAAAGACAACGGGGAUAAUAACUUAUAUUAAAUACAUGACCCUUCCCCUGCAAUUCCGUGUUCUUCUCUUUCGUCCUUGCUCCUAGUAUACGAGUUCUGACUUUCCAUUAUUAGGCUUAUAGCUUGAAUACUUUAUAAGUCAACUUCUUUUCUAUCUCUUGAAAACAGGUUUCCUCUUCUAUUAUUUGCUUUGAUCCUAACUGCCCGUCUUGCUUGACUUUAUCUAAGAAUAGGCUACCCCAGUCUAAUACCUUUCAUUAGAACAAAGAAUGUACUAAAUAAAGAAUGGACUAGUGCACAACGAGACUUACACUCAGAAAGUGGGCUUCCCCUACCUUAUAGCAUUAUGAAACUCACUGCUUUUAGUCUGCCAAGUCACUACAAACGACUAUCAGAUGCAACUUGCUACUAUAAGAGAAUGGAUCUACUGCUUCUAAGCUUAAGGCUCGGAACUCCCUGUAGUAGUAUGCUUAUUCGCUUAGAAAGGUCUCCUUGUUCACUUAGCCAGGUAUCCUCGUUAGAGCAUUUGUGGAAUUAUUACUUCUUUUAUUACUCUUAUACUGAUGACUGGGCUGCUCCUUCACUAGAUGCACUGGAUCGAUCAUACCAUACCCUAUAGAGGCUAUUGACUCCAACUUCCCAUACGUAUUCUAUCGGCUCUAACUUUACAUACCUAUUCUACUGGCUCUACUUUGAAUAAUGAUGUUGACCGAGCACCGCGCAAGAGCUAUCAUCAAAAGAGAAAAGAAAUAGACCCUUUGGGACCAAAAGGACAAUAGUGAUUCUAAUUCCAUUGAUAGCUAUGGUGCCAAUGUUAGGUAAACAGAACUCUGUAUUUGUUUACUAUCUAAUGUAUCCUGACUUUCCUGUUUCCUUCUUCAAUAACUUAUUCCGUGUUGGGUCUUAAUAAACUUCAUUCUGUGUUGGGAGUUGUUCUCUCAGCUAGGUGUUCUUUGAUGCAAGGCAAGGUAGAGUCAAUCAAUAGGGUGGGUUUUUCAGAGUAAAGUCAGUAAGUGGGUCUUUCAAGUCCACUUAUUUUCUUUGGGUAAGUAAGGGAAUAGUCCUUGGGUAAGUAAAUAGUCCUUGGGUAAGUAAGGGAAUAGCUUAGCUUGGUGUUACGCGGAGAAUAGAAAAGUAGAUGAAAGAUAUAGUAUUGAUAUUACAAAUCAGGUAGGCAGUUAAUCCUAUUCGCCUAGGAAAUGCAUAGGUUAUAUUACAUUUUGCUUAUACAAAUCAGAAUUCAAGACAGAAGUAAGAGAAUGGAAAGUGAGCAUCUAGUCUAGUGGAGCCCCGAGUAAGCAAGAAUUCACUGCAGGAAUGAUACCACCAAGCCUGGAUACUAAUGCUAACAGAGCGCUACAAGACUGAGUAGGUGUCCUGGGGUCUGCUCGUUUACUGAGUUACUGAUAGAGGUUUUCUAUUCUCAAUUCAGAAUGACAUUGUUGAUGUGCAAAAUAAGAAUGACAUUGUAGUAGUACUACCAGUGUGUUUAGCAUAGAAGGUUAGAGAGGGUAAAUAAAGAACUCAAUCAAUAAGUAACAGAACUCAACCCAGCGGCACAAGAAGAAGUAGGCGUAUAACAGCAAUCGACAGGUAACUAUGCCUAGGGGGGUUAAGCUGAGAACUUACAUUACUGCUCAAAAGCCUUAAUUCGUGGGGGCGCAGAUGAUCUUGUAACCACUGAUUCUCUGGUGACUAUUGGUUAACGCCUAUAACUCUCUAUCAGAUGUAUGGGUUCGGGUCCCUAGCCGGGCCGGAGGGAGUCAUUCGUUGAGAUCGAUUCUGCAAGUGUAGUUCGAGGUCUGUUAUGAAAGUCUAGUUCUUGCCCCAACUGGUAGUAUAUUAGUCUAAAGGUCGGGUCGGGUAGUUUAGGAAUUCAUAUGGGCUUGGUUCAAGAAGUCUUGCCUUAGAUGCACUGGUUGGGGUCUGUAACUACCUAUAAUAAGUCAAUUCUGAGUGGUACCGAUUUGAGUCUGAGCGGUAUGGGUUGCAUUCUUAGUAGCAGUAGUUGAAGCCUGUUUCUCAGUGCACUGAUUCUGGUCGGUAGUGGUUGAGGUCUGCCUAUACUCCUGGGUGAAAGCCUUCCUUGUGUGCUUUAGUAUUAUAGUAGCUUAGCCUCAUUCCACGGUCCCGUGUUUUAGUCUGCCCCCAAAAGCGAACUCGAAAGCUGACACUACCUAUUUCCAUUCUUAUAUGCGAGUGUUUGUAUCCCAUUAACAAUAAGAGUCUUUAGUUGUGACUUUUGAGUUGAAGUCAGCCUUUCCUUUAGCUUAUUCUUUUAUGGCUUAUACUGUUAUCUUAUUCUUUCAGUGUUAUACUGUUAUCUUAUGAAUCUAUUGCUUAUAUUUUUGUGCUGUGGUGUGCGCAUGAUGAUAAUUUCUCUGAUUGACGCAUAAGCCCUAAGGGGGCAAUCCAGAAUGAAAGAAGCAAGUAUCAGACCAAGCCCUACUCUAUGCCAUGCCCCAGCAGAACAAGCAUUAUUACCCGCAUACACUUGAAAACCAUACUUAAUAUAUAAUAAUUGGCUCAAGGUAAAGUUCAGAGAAUAAUUGUCAUUAAUAGAAUCAUAGUAAUUGGUUCCAAAGCGAAAUAAGAUAAUGAGUACGCCCGGAGUCCUAUAGCUCCAUUCUUGCUUGUCCACCCCGACAUUCUCCUUUUUGUUCUGAACCGACUUAACCCAUUAACGGAAUUGAUUAUGCUCCUUAUCUAGCUUAAACACUUGAUUGACCUGAUUGAGAGUCGACAACAAACACGGAUUUCUUUCGAACAGACAAUUCAGCAUCUUAUUCUGUUGAAACGGAUUCUUCCCUCUAUGAUUCGUACUCCAAAUAAUCACCUCUCUAGCAAACAGUAUAGCUUGAAGAUAAGUAAAGGCAAAGGUCUAAUGUUAUUAAUAAGAAAUUCACUAUAACAGCAUUUCGGGGUAUAUGAGUAGGGAUUUCCUCUAUUCUAAGUAAUUCGUUGCAUAUCGAGAUUCAUAUGCUUCUUCUGGAUUUAGUAGUAGAUCUCUGGGCUUGCAGUCAAGUCCGGCAAUGGUCUUUUUUCUACUAGCAUUCCGGGAGGGAAAUAAGACAGAAAGUCUAAAUGUAGAGAACUGCGUCAUCACGGCAGCGAAGGCGGAAGGUGAUUGAGCUCGCGUAUAGAAUGCUUUAUGUAAACUAAAACCCUUACUUUGAGCUAACGACUGAACAUAUAAGUAAUAAAAUAAUAGUAGUGUUUGGAAUAUUGUAUAAAUAUAGAGUCAACAACCCCUCCCUCCUAUUCGUUUUUCCAAAAGAUGUUCUAUAGUGGAGGUACAAGUCACAUUAAUUUGUUGACCGACAAGAAUCAAAGGGCAGGCAAAGGCACCAAUCAAGAAAUGAGAGAGUAUUUGUCGCACCGUUGAGUCCAAUUCCGAAGCGGAGCUAGUCCACUCCUUGAGAAUAAAGUGUAUAAGGCGAUUUGGGCUCAAGAUUUGAUGCAUGCAUAGUUUGGUUGGAUAAAGCGGAAAAGACUAGCCGAACUCUUAGAUGGGAUAUAACCCUAUUAACUGAUGUGUAGAAAUAUGUAAAGCUUUUAUGUCCUUUCCCUGGGGAGCCCGAGCCCUGGUUCCGUUCGCCCAGUUCUUCUUUCAUCAUAUACAGAAGCCGAAUCCGAAUCUAGCUCGAAGAGAAUGCCCACUCGGGGCGAGGAACAAGCACCAAAAGAGACUACCGCUAUCAUAUACCGCGCAGGAGAAGAACAGCCAUCAACAAAGUCAAGGCAAAUAGUUUAGUGUGUUAAUAAGUUCCUCUGGCCGACCACUACUCUGGAAAGGCAGGAAACCCAGAUUGAGAGUACUAAUACCUAUGCCCAUGUUCAAGGACUAAGGGCGAACCUCCGUUUCAAAUGCUAAUACAGAGCUUCUUUAUCGCUCACUUUAGCCUGCCUCUGAUUCAUUCUUAAAGCGCAGUGAGGAACUACAUUUUCUGAAUAAAUAUGAAGUCCGCCAUUGGAAGAAGCACUUCUUUGUCUUGCCCGAACUCUCCUUGCCUUGAAGAACCGUUUGCAUCAGCCUCAGAUGGAAAUGUUGUUUCUGUUUGAAAUGAAAAUGGAGUGGCUUUACCCUUUGCUUGAUUGGCUUUCCCUUUGUUGUCUAUGAGUGCUGUUAUUUCUUGGCUUGACCUUGUAGUGGUGCCAGUUCUAGUGAUUUUGUUGUCGACUCGAAUUGCCUGAUAGUUUGUGCUUCUGAUGCGCGGUGCAGAAGUUCAAUAUGGAUUUCCUUUCAGAUUACUGGUCUGCUACAUGUGAUUGUAAUGAUUGUUUGUAGGAAAACCUUAGCCUUAUUGUUACUUCUGAGAAUCCAAGUAAAGGGGAAUUUGUGACUUCGCCAAGCUACGACUAACGGACAAAGAUAGGGGGUUAAUAAGUGAAAGCAACUACUUGCUAUGUGUUUGUGAGCCAGAGGAGAGCCCUGUUAGAAUAACUAAGUAAUCAAGAAGAACCAGAGGUAUAGUGGCAAUAGGUAUAGUAGCCUUAGUGAGAUUAGAUGCUCUAGUAUUGACUGGCAAGAAGAGAGUGGAAGACCACUUAGUACAACUACUUAUCCCAUAUUAUUCUAAGUAUAUAUACCUCGGAGUUUCAGACCGAUCCUAAGUAUUAGUAGGAAUACGGGCACUGCUAAUUCUAGAUACCCUAACUUCAUUCUUACUUGCGGAAUGAGGCUCAUCUCAUCUAAUAUUGGCUUUCCCAAGUAGUGGAGAGAGAGGUUCCAGAGUUAUUACAAGUCCUGUAUUAAGGGUUGGCAAGAAGAUAGUAGUCCUUUUCUUGUUCUUGUCCCUAGUUUGACUGCUCCGGUUCUUGUGAGCAACUGUAGGAGUGAGUUCAGAUAGUAGCUAAGUAGGAGUGAGUGAUUCCUCAAGUGUUGUUCGAGAGCCCUAUUUACUAUAUAGUAAUAGUUAACACCAAGUCCUGUGUUGGGGGGUAGGUCAGGGAACCCGUUUUCUCUUUAUUUGUAGCCUUAGUUGGUAUCGGGUAUCAUUACGGGUAUCAUUAGAAUAGAAUAGAAUAUAUGUGGGUGCCGCUAUGUGUUAACUAAAUUAAGAUAGGGGCAUAUGUGUUAACUAAAUCAAGAUAGGGGCAUAAAGUGCACUAAAACAUAGCUUUUUGAGUUUGAUAGGAAAUCUAUCAUGUCAUACCCCCAUUGGAGCCUAGAAAUGCAUUUAUUACUAUAAGAUUAAGGGUUCCCUUGGGGCAGUUUCAUCCCCAGUGCCAGGUCCUGUGACAAAGUAUGGUGAGCAGAGGUGGGCAAGAAGAUCUUUGCUAUGUUUUUUCCCAGGAUGCUUUGCCGGGUAUUUAGAUAGAAGCCGGGAGCUCAGGUGUUGAUGACGAAGCGGGUAAUUAACAAUGAAAUUACUCAGUGGUUGCCUGGUGUUUGGGCUUGUUAAAAGAAGUAUGAGUUUACAGAGUUAUAGGAGUAGUGAGAUUAGAGUAGAGGUGGGUUCAAGAGUCGAGGUAGUCAAGCUAGUCCAGAGUGGAGGGAGAUGAGAAAGCAGCUCAGUAGUCAAUAUCAGAAUGAACCACAAGUCCUGUGUUCGGCUAGUGCAUUCUAAGAAUAUAUUAGCAGUAAUAGAAUAAGACAAGUCAGUAUUAGAAUGGAACAAGUAAGUGCGGGUACGAUCUACCGACCUAGUAUACGCUUGGCGGGAGCUGACUUAAGCGGAUGCGUUAGUGACCGGCUUAUGAACGAGGUCUCAAUUCUAUUGCUAUCUAGAUGAAAUUCAAGGAACGCGCUAACACUUCUUAGAUAGAGGUGAUUGAUUGGCUGUACCUUAGCUGUCAUAGAGAUAAUCCACAGUUGGAGAACCAGCUGUUAAUCGAUUGGCCUUAGUUGUCAUAGAAAUAAUCCGCAGUUAGAGAACCUUCUUUUUAGUACCUAAAGUCACUCUUUGCCAGUAACCACUCCGGCUACUUGUCGUUAGUAUAAGACUCCGGCGACUAUCUUUGUAUGUAUAAGUCAGUGGAAGAAUUGGGUACGAUCCAGACAGGUACCUGAGUUAGGAGUUAUAUGAAAUACAGGCACCGGAGUUCCCGACCUCGACCUAGAGCGUAAGCACCAACACUCGCCCACAAAGAGAUUCCCACUACCCUAAACAUAAAGUAAGCCUUAGAAAUACCAGAGGAUAGGUAGGAAAGGGAAGCAGUUAGAAUAGAAAUAGGUAAUCGAAUUGCUUCUAUAGUUAGAGCAGAGCCAGUAGUAAGUGGGUCCGCCCCUGUUCUUGUGUGAGUUUAAGACCGGUUAGUAGAUCCCUUAUUCUGAGUAUCUGAUUUGUAUAUCCCUUAUUAGUAGUAGUAGAUAGGUCGGGUGUUUGACUUGAAGUGGCCAGUUGCAUCUGUAUUUGUAGAAAGAGGAGAGGUAUAGUAGCCGAACACUAGCGGCAGGAUCGGAUCGGGAGUUGGCUUAGAGAUAGGGCUGGAGUUGGGAUCAUAAGUAGGUAAAGAAUAGCUAGGGAGCUUAAUCUCCUUUCGAAUGCCUACGAGGUGUUGGGAAGAAAGAUUCUAUUACUUGCUUUGAUGCGAGGUCAAGUACUUACUGGCUUUGAUACCGAAGCUUGAGAAGGAUCUGAUCUACCCACUAUCUUGUCACCAAGAAACAAGGAGAAAACUCAUUUUCGGGAGCUCAACCAACAAGCCCAGCUAACUCAAUUUAGAAUUGUUGAACUGAAGCUCGCACCCCUUCUAUGGAUCCUCUGCCUUUAAUACCUGGCUAAUGAGUCUGUCUCUCCGCAAUAAGGGCCAAGCUGACUUUAGCAUCGGAAGGAGAGUCGACCAGAUCAGAUGUUGUGCUAAAGUAAUCCCCCGAGUUGACAGUUUAAGCGGAAGAAGAAGCUGUGUUCAAGUAAGAUACGUAAGCUACCGGGCGAAAGUCUGCUACCAGUGCUACUACUACUAGAGUGAAGUCAACUCCAUUCUUCUACUUACUAUAUGAUAAAAGACAAAGAAAGCAUAUCAGUGAAAAGCUUCUUUCUGUGCGAGUGGAAUCGAGUGUUGAAUAAAGAUCUUCAGCGGGUAGUGGAGAAUUACCUGUUCCUGCUCGGGAUUAACCCUUCUUGAUUUCUUUCUUUCACUUAUGCUAGUCUCUUUGAACUAGUAAAUUCAAUCUUCUAAUAAGAACAGAUAGAUACAAACAGAGUCGUGUCUUGGUCACUUCUUUUGUUGGAUGGCAAAUCUCAUUAAAAACAUCUUGGGGGGCGGGGGCGAUGAGAAAGAAUGCUUUUUGACUAACAUCUUGAUGGUUUAGGGCUCCCUACCUGCUUGCCCGUAGAUGAAAACAGCAUGGUUCCUCUUCUUUCCUGUUCUUGCUGUUCUAGUUGAAUACCGAGUGGAAUGUGGUUUAGUAGGGAAUGCUCUUUACUUUAGGGUAGUUUAGUAGGGAAUGCUCUUUACUUUAGGUUUGCUACCUGCUUCUAUAAGACCUAGGCAUGGCGUGGAGGGGCACUUCUCAUUAUGCUUUUUCUGGACUUGGAUCAAUAGUAAUAGGUGGAUCUGAUCUGCUUUAACAGCUUGGAUCUGGAUCUGUGUAAUCUGUGCUUGUUGGCGAUUCUCUAAUUUCAUUCUCACUUUCCUACUGCAUGUAUAGAUUGCGGGGUUGCUGUAGGAUAAGAUACCCACUUUCUAUAGGUUCAAACAAACUGAAACUAUUCAACUGCAUUCUUAGAUUCGGGAUUCUAUAACUCCUGACGCCGAACACCUGGAGUUCUUUUGCCAUUACUUGUUGGAAGCAAUGCUGUGAGUUUGUUACUGAUUCUCUCUCGUUGGUAACACUCAGGAGAUUGCUGCUGACCUCUGACUUGCUUCUUGGGCCGAGUUAACAAGGAUAAUUCCAUCUCUCUUCUUUCGAGCGCAGAGUAGACAAAGAAUUCUUAUAUUUCUAUUGAAACUCCUGGGAUUAAGGUAUUGUAGCCAGUAGCUCGAGGUAUCAGAUAAGAAAGAAAUUAGCAGAGAUGAGCCAUAGGUAUUUCUAUAAGAAAUCAAGAUGGUUGCCAUAGGUGUAAUUGCCAUAACUGUCUUUGUUGCCAGAGGUGGAGGAUAACAAGAAGAGAGGAGAUGGAGGCAAGAACAGACCAGAUAGAAGUUGAGGAAGUCCUGUGUUCGGCUGCUAAGGCAUAGAAUGAAGCUAAGACAUAUCAGAAUUAGACCGGUACCACCGAAAAUGUAGCUAGCAGAUGUAAGACUGAAGCUGCGUAGGCUCAGGCUGAACCUAAGGAGUCCAAGAACCAAACACCGCAUUCCAAGGCUUAUGCUAUUGCUGGUAGGUAUGCUCGGAAUGCAGCUAAGACUUAAAGCAAGGGUAGCUAGACUGAUUCUAUUGCUAGUAAGACUGAUGCCGGUGCUGGGCAGAAUACAACCACUAAAUCCAAGAAUGGAGCUAUUGGGUAGAAGCCUAAGCCCCCGGGGCACGUAUACAGAAUUGGCCUAAGCAGUCAAAGGCUGAAACAAGUAAAUCCAAGAAUGACGCUAAGUAGGCUCAGAAUCAAACCACCGAUACAAGGAAUGGAAAGGCGACGAGAGACAGAUAGAAUUGAACUACUAAGUCUCAGAACCAAACCCAAGAGUGCAAGCCUGAUGCUGGUGCUUCCAACACUUAUGCUCUAAACUCACUCCUUCGCUACUGCUUUUCAUUAUGAGAUUACUUAUUAAGUUCUCUUAUAUUAUAUUGAUUAGCAUGUUAUUAGGGGGGCACAAAAGGACAAUUGCUUUUCUUUUUGUGUAGCAAAGUUGUGGUUUUUCUAUUCUCAUUGAAUUUGAUAUGGUAGUGCGGGUGCUCAGUAAACAUAAUUCUUCGAAGUAGAGUCAAUGAAUGACCUAACCGGUAUGUCCACCUCUACUGUUUCUUAGUAAGGAUCUCCUCUUGACUUAUUGAACCUACCUUUCCCUGUACCAAAUCAGAUAUCCCCGCCUUUGAGCCCCCUAUGGGGAUGAUCCGGUCUUUCCAACCCGUUAUUAGAACUGUUCCCUGCAUUCCGUAGUCCUUUUUUCAUCCUGACAUCCCUUGCUUGAAAGCUGUAGCUCACCUAUGAACCACCAAACACCUCACUUUAGGAUCAAACUAGGGCAUAUGAGACUGUAGCCGCUUACUUCAAUACUUGAUCUUUGAGUAAUGAAUUCAAUUAGCAAAAGCAAGGGCUGCAAAGCUGCUGGCUCAUUAAGCACUAAAGUCAUUCUUGUUAGUAGUGGUAUCGGUCUAAUAGACUAGUUAGUAGUUGCCCUUGUCCCGUUGCUUGUCGGGUUGGUUACCGGAAUCCUAUAAUAUUAGGUGGCUCAUUAUUCUGUUUCUUCUCUUUCAACUGAUCAAUAGGAAUAUGCUUACCCGACCCCAACAACUUGAAUUGCUGCUUCCUUAUUUCCAUGGGAUUAAAGUCAACCUGGAAUUUCUUUUAGUCAUUCUCAUUGAAAUUACUUAGUAUCUCCAUCAGUCCAGUGCAACCAUUAAAUAAGUCUGGGCCAGCCAGGUUGAAGCUACCCUAUCUCUAUAUUCUUAUUCGAACUCACGUGAGCACACCACGUUAGCACACCUCGCAACAAUAAUGAUUCUGUUUAUUCUGUUGCUUGCUUCCUUUCCUAACAAAACUCCUGACUUACUACUUUAACGAGUAGGCGCACCCCUCACAUAAGCGCAUUAGGUCCUUGUUCCCCGAGAAUAAGCGUAAGCGCACAACUCUAAAGAAAGAAUGGGAAUGGAAUAUAGCUAUACACAUAUUGUAUUGAGAUGGGGUAUAAAUGACUCUGAGAUAGGAGAACUCUGAGAUAGGAGAACUCUGAGAUAGGAGAACUCUGAGAUAGGAGAACUAUGAGAUAGGGUAACUCCGAGAUAGGGUAAAUGACUUUCCAGGACAACCAACCUCGGGUCGACCGCUGCAAGGGAAAGAAAAACACUAUUAAGUAGAAGGUAAAGCACGCAAAGGGGAAAGCUAACUCAAAACCUGUCUCUGACCCGGCUUCUAUUGUAAAUGAAUGACACUCUUGAAAUUCACUCCUGCCGCUAGUCAAUUGAAGGUUGGAAUGAAACUACCUCUAUCCCUUAACUAAACAAAUGGGUUCUCCUCCUUCCACUUUCCCACUACUUGAAGGGGCAAGAACUAGACUUGAAUAACAGACCUUGAACUAGACUAGCACUACUCCUUUAAGAAUUGAGUUAAGGAAACUACAGGGGAGAGGAAAGACAGAAAGAAAGUGAGGAUGUAAGACAGUUGCUCUACCCCAGACAGGGUAUCUAUUUCCUAUCUCUUACCGGACAGGCGAACACAGCACUUGUUUCUUGCACCGAGUCAAACAGCAAAGGAAUGCUUCUUUUGAACUGGUUGUUGCUAAGGUCGAAAACAGGUUCACAAUUGCUCCUCCUCUGACUCCCGUUAGUGCUUCCUUGCAAGUCAUAACUGCUUCCAAAGCUUCUGAUCUUGAAACAGCUUCAAUUCAAUCUACUGGCUCCCACCCCAGCCUUGACAUGCCAAAUCUUAUAUCCGUGGCUCUAAGCCUUGCUUACGCCCCCUAUCUAGUAGAGCGAAUUCGCAUAUUUAUAAAAAAGAGGAGUGACACUGCUGCUAACAAGGCUAUAGCUAGUGUAAACAAUACAAGUUUUCAUAAGUAGGGAUCCGUUUCAGUAGCAAUAGAUUUCUCUCUGGCAUUUCAACUCAUUACCAUAAGAAUCAUUAAUAUACUAAGGACUAUAAUGACACGGAGCUUCCCGAGCCUACCCUUGCAUACUUGCUUUCUGUACAGCUGAUCCGGAUCUUAGAUUGAGCAUAACUCUCCCGCUUCCAAACCUUUCUCUUGACCUCACUCCUGCUGUUCGAGUCUUAUAGUGGCCUAUUUCAUUGUGUAUCUGGAGUGUACUCCGGCCUUAGGCUUAAGGUGUUAAAGUAAAGGCUUGAAAUGCAUUAAAGCCCGAUUAGGAGUAUGCAAAGGCGUACACGCAGCAACACCAAAUAAGUGAUGUUCUCAUUCUCAUCAGUAGUAGUUAGUGGAAUACCCCUAGUUUCAUCCUAGUCUACAAGAGAAUCAGCAUCCUUAGAAUCAGAAGAAGCAGCUCGAGUGAAGUCGGCUAGUAUAGUCUCUUUUGCCGCCCGCUUUUGCUCCGAGUAGAGUUGCUUUCUGUUUGAGUGGAAUUGUAUUAAGAAGCCGAAUGCAAGUCAGUUGCAAGCGAAAAGUAAACCAGAGUUCAAGCAGAAGAUAGAAAGUAUAGUUCGACAAGAGAAGAACCAAGGUAAGGAGAAGAGGUCAGAGAAGUGAGAGAAGAAUCAAGAUCAUAAGUCGGGAGUUGGGAGUUAGGACGAGUUAUUAUGGAGUCUUGUUUGGGGGAUCUGCAAGCGGGAAAGAAAGUGAAGAGUAUGGUUGUUUGACUUUAAGCCGAGAAUCCGCAGUGCCAGUGAAAUCUAGGUUCGGUGCUAGUUUCAUCCUUUAGAGGAGAGUAAGGGCUCGAGGCUGUAAACCCAUAUUUCGAAUUCACAGAACUCACAAACCUAGUAUAAGAAUUCCACAACUUUCCUUGAAGCCGACACCACUGAGUCUGGGCCUAGACUACAUUUCUUCCCCUAACAGCUAGCCAGUACUUUCUUCUUCCCCAGAUCAAGUUUCUUACCUUAGAGUGGAAUUCCCACUUUCAAACUUCCAACUAGCCAAGUAGACAAGCCCGACAAGCUACUCUCAAUCUGGUGUUACAAAAGAAGCAAGCUACCAAAGGGUUUCCACGGCAUUCAGUAAAUUCUUAAGAAACUUCCUGGUGUGCUCUCCUCAGGUACUAUCCUCUGACUAUAGUAGUCUAUUUGAGUCACAGUAAAAUAAGAAUUCCUAACUUCAUUCGGUAUACCUCGACUCUUGCUCUUUGACUAUCUGAUUGCCCAGGCUGCUUAUAGGAGUUAUGAAAGUGCCCUGUGUCCCUAGUAGUAGAAUAGUGUAAUCCCCUGUUCCUUUUCUUGGUUAAUACCGGCCAAGUAACUACUAAUGUGUAGCGGCAGUUCCAUAGUACUGUUCUGUAUCGAAGUUGCUGUAAGUAAACACCAUUCUUUAGUAGGAACAGGCGAGGAAGCAAGGCAUCUUCACCAAAACCAGAGGUGGAGGGAGCCGGAGCAGAAUUAAGGUAUGGUUCGACAAGGAAAGCUGUUAGAGCCGAGCCAGUAGUUGUGGAGUUGAAUAUGAGCGGAGUGAUUGUGCUUGUUAAGUAUAGUAGUCCAGGUAGUCCCGGAGCUAAGGAUUCUGUUUCCUCAAUGGGCACUGCUUCUCUUGACUAAGAAUUGAACUAGUAGUAAGUAGUUAAGUAUUGCCUGUCGGCUUGGCCUAAGUAAGUAGUUUAUUGCCUGUCGGCUUGGCCGUUGCUUGGCGGUCAUUAUACUAAGCUUGUCCAGGACUAAGUUGUCCAUUUGUCGACUAGAAAGGCAAGUUGAAGUUUCAUCCGUUCACUAGUAGGAGUAGCGUAAGGGAAGGUCAGAAUAGAUUAAAGGAAAGGAAGACAUAAGUGGCUGAUUCAUUCUCCUUAGCAACAGCACCAGGACUUGUGAAACUAACUCUUACGUAAGCUGAAGACAGGACUCGGUAAUAACCUUUGGACUUGUCUUUUCCCUAUGCCUCUGUCUCUUAUACGUAUAUCUCUGGCUCAUAUAGUAAGUACUGGUAUGGCUCAUAUUGUAAGUACAGGUACUCUAUAGCUGUUAUGAAAGCUGGAUCAUAAGUAGGAGCGGGUAAAGGCUUUGUUGCGAGGCGAGUAAGCUAAGCUAUAAGUACGGAAGUCAAGAAUGGCUAUCAAACCCGGUAGUACUGGCUUCAUUCUGUUACUUAGUAGUUCCCGAACACAGGACUUGGUUUAUUACUGGCAAUGAAGUUAGCAGAGAAGAGUAAGAGGCGAGGGAAUCUUUUGUUGAAAUUGAAUUCUGCACUUCAAUACCAGAUUAGAGGNNNNNNNNNNNNNNNNNNNNNNNNNNNNNNNNNNNNNNNNNNNNNNNNNNNNNNNNNNNNNNNNNNNNNNNNNNNNNNNNNNNNNNNNNNNNNNNNNNNNNNNNNNNNNNNNNNNNNNNNNNNNNNNNNNNNNNNNNNNNNNNNNNNNNNNNNNNNNNNNNNNNNNNNNNNNNNNNNNNNNNNNNNNNNNNNNNNNNNNNNNNNNNNNNNNNNNNNNNNNNNNNNNNNNNNNNNNNNNNNNNNNGAAGGUUUCCAUAUCCUUUGUUGGCUUGGCCCACUCCUAUAUUAUAGAUUAUCUUUAUAUAGGUGAACGGAUGAAACUAGGGAACACCGGAGUCAGAAUGUAACUAAGGAGUGACAGAAUGAACCGGGUGUGUGAGCUAGUAGGAAGAUCAGAAUGCAGCCAGUGAAUCCAAGGCUUAAAGCAAGGGUAGCGAGACUACACCCAGUACUGCUCGGAAUGCGCCCACUGACAACCAGACUUCGACCGGGUAGACUCAGAAUGGAGCUAGUAGGUGUAAGGCGGAAGCUAGGUAUUACUGGUAUGGUCCUGUUGCAAUGAUCCUGCUGCAUCAGUAGUAGUAGCCCGAGUUUGAUUUUAGUCCAGUCCUGUUAGUGGGGAGGUUCUACCACUUAGUUGCAUUCUCACUUUGGAGUUGAGAGCGCAGGUGCUGUUUUCAUUGAGUUGGUCGUUAGUAAUAGCUUGCCCGGGUGCCGGUAAGAAUCCUUUACUUCUGCAGGGGGCUAAGUGGUCUAGGAUCUAAAGCUUAUUCAUUGCCUGUGAGAGUGGAGUCUAGCGUUAAGUCAUGCCAGGCAGUCCAGUAAGAGACCAACUCAUCAGGUAGAAUUACAGAAUUCCACUCAAAAGUAAGUAUCAGCAUCUAGGGCAAGAAAAGAGUUUACUUACCAGUCCUAUACUCAAGAAUGGAGUUGUUAGUUUACUUACCGGUAUUGCACUAUAGAAUUGAGUUGACUAAGUAGAGGCCAGGCCAGGAGAAUACUGUAAUUAAUGGAGUCAGAGUUGAGGUCGGCAAGGUCAGGGCUAAAUCUUAAUCAUGAGCUAGGUAUUCUAGUUGCCAGCAGGGUUCAAUGACUAGUAGAUGUAUCGGAGUUUAGGUAAGUAUGUAUUCUUUGUCUUAUAUGUAUUCUUAUCAUAUCUUAUAUGUAUUCUUUUCGUAGUUUAGUACCGGUGUAGUAGUGUAUUGAAGAACAUCAGAGUUUCUGACCGCUUCUUAUAAGUAUGUGCUCUUCUCUUUAUAUAGGACGUAAGACCUUGUGCUAACUAGGGUUAGGGCAAGAACGUUCACUGAUGGAAUUGCUUGAAUUGCUAGAGUUUACUUACAUGUAGUAGUCCUUUUGAAUCUGUAUUAGUUGACAUAGGUAUCGAAGCCAGAGAGGAGGAGAGACAGAGUGAAAAGUUCUCCUAUUCUAAUUGAUUCCGUUAAUUGUAUUUACUCUUUUCUAUACUAGGUGCCCCAAAGAAAGAAUGGAAUGGAAAACUGAACUAAUGAGUUUAGGUCUUGGCUUAGAGGACCAAGGAAAACAAAGAAUACUGAAUGAAACGAACAAGUAGGAAAGAGUGACUUCACACUGGUAUCUUCUCUGACUUCUAAUACUUAUACUGGAUCUGAAACUCCUAAUACAUACUUUUGACUAUGAAUGCGCAGGUGCCGGUAUUUCAUUCAACUCAUUACUACUGGGAUCCGAAUGAAGGUAUAAAAGAAAUGGAGUUAUAUGAGCCAGAGAAGAGAGAGGCAAGGGAACCUUCAAGGGAAGCUUUUGAGUCAGAAGGAGAGGCCGAAAACUGUGAAUAGUUGCCGAUAAGAGCAGGGUGAAAAGAGCCAGAGUUAGGGUUUAGGGUCAAGAGAUGAUAGGCUGUGAGAGUGAGAGUUUAAGACCAGUAGUAGUUGUAGUAUACGCAAGAGUAGAGUCGACUUGCCUAGUUUCUUGGCUGUUGCCUAGGAGCCGAAUGAAGUUAGUUACGGUAGCCAGCUGCUGGGAUUGUUUAAAGAAGUUACUAGGGGUCGGGUAGUCAAAAGAGAAACCCAUAGUUGUGACUUGGCUCUAAGCUUGGUGAAUCAAACUAAGGAGUCCAAGAAUGAAAUAAGGUAGUUACAGGCUAUAGCUACAUUUGCCUAGGAAGGGAGCGUGGUCGGUCAGAGUGAACUCCAGUAGUCAAAGAAUGAAUAUAGUUCCCCAUCUGCCGCAUCUAGUACUGAAGUAAAGAAUAGAACUGGUGCUGCUCAGCCUGAUAUUAGUGCAUCUAAGACCGACCCGAGUGACAGAACGAAACAAGCGAGUUACAGGCUUUAACUAGUCCACUGAUUCCCCGGAGAGAGACAGGGAGUCCACCGAUGACCUAGUAGAACUAAGCCUAGGAAUUGAGAGAGGGAGAGGUGAGCGAGUAGUUUACCAAUAAGAGAGGUGAGCUAGUAGUUUACCAAUAAGAGAGGUGAGCUAGUAGUAAAGUGAGAAUGAAAGUUGACUCUGGUACCUGAGUAAGGAGUGACACUUGUCUAGUAUACGCUUGCUUGGUGGACUCCAUAAGGGCACCGAACUAACUAACAUUAUGGGUUUAGUCCGUUAGUAGUUACUUGGCCGGAACUAAGACUUGAAUUACAGCUUCUACGCCCUUGUAUUAACUCUUGCUUAUUAGCUUCGAACUGCGACUAUUCUUUUCACUUAUAAUAAAGAGUCCAACCGAUGCUGAUGAGACUGCUACUGCUUUAUCUUAGCCUUACCUUCUUUGCUCUCGUUCUGUAACUACCGGUUAACUAGGAACUUGGAAUCAUAUCAAUACUAAUUCGAAUUGAACUACUACUGAUGAGACCUGCUACUAUUCCCUAUUAGUCUGACUCCCUUAUGCCCUAAGCCUUUCCCCUUUCGCUUUCGUUACUAAUACAUUUCUUUCAGAUAAAAACCUUUCACUGAAUUCUUUACUUCUAUGCUAUUGGUGUUAUAGCCGUUCUUAUGGGUCCUGUAGUGGAGACCAGUAUCCUAGCAACCGAUAACAAGAAGUCAAGCAAUUCCUACUAGAGAACGCUACUUUCAAUAUAGAACUUCCCCUCCUGUUAAUAAGACUGGGGCUGGUGCUUCUACUACUUGUUCCUCUAAUUAGGGAGUGAACUGCCGUUAACAAGAAUGCACUACUGCGCGAGUGGAUCAAACCAAUGAGAAAAGGAAUCAAACUAAUAAGUAAGGAUCAUCGUCAGAGGAACUAGAAUGGCAAGAAAGUUGGAAAGUAAGACAACAACUCAAAAGCGGGAACCAACCUCAUAAAUAGGAAUUCCUUUACUCCUUUGAAUACUUGAACUUGGGGCCAUUGGUUCUUCCCUAUCUCCAAUGAAGUAUUCCGUUUUCUCAUAUUCUAUUUUCUAUUGAUUUAUUAGGGUAUAAAAACGAGAGUGGUUUUCCGUGUUACUUAAGAUCUGUAGCUGGGGUGUAAAGCGCUAAUAACUCUUUCUUAUUAGUCUGAGUCAUUCUUCUAAGUAAACAACAUCUCCCCAGUGCCCCAAUCACUCUGAGUAGUCAGCACCAUUCUUCUAAGUAAAAAGCAUUAUUGGUAGUCACAUCAUUCUUAUUAGUAUUAAAAACAGGCACUCGUUAGCUGCAUUCCCAUUCUCUUGUUUUAGUAUGCUUUCAUUCCCGGUAGUUGCUAAGUAGUUGCUGAUCUACCAGUUGCUUCUGCUGAUACUGACUUAUGAGUUUCAUUCCCACUUUAGUAUACGCUUGGCUUGUUUCCUUACCUGGCUUCUUUCUUUGAUUGUCCGGUAGAGUGGAUUCCUUCCCUCGAUCUGGUCUUCUUUAACAAUCUGAUCUUUCACUUUAUUAUAUUAUGCUAUUAGAUUGGGGAUCCUAGGUGGGAAAUAGCAAUAGCCAAGUGGUGCAGGACAAAGAGUAGUGGAACAGACUCAUGCCUUAGCCCCUUUGCUACGGUUCUGGCCUAGAAAUAGUCCAAUCGAUUUUCAUUGACCAAGCCUUAUAGGGAAAAGGCAGCUCCUGCUCUUGGUCCCCAGGGAAAAUGGGGUUACAAAGAGGAUACAGUUUCACGGCUCCUCGCUCGUGGGUACCGCUCAUUUCAUUGUUGGAAGUUUGGAUUCUUUAUAUUCAAUGGUUAUUAGUUGUUUUGGUUCUUUCUGCUUGGUAUAUUAACUCAGUGUCGUGCUUUAGCCGAGCCGUUUCAGUGGGUUCCACCAUUGAGCUAUUAGGUUAUGCCCCCCUCCUAAGUAAGGGGAGUUCUGCACAAGAGAAGAGGCACAUCAAACCUUCCCCAGUACUGAUCGAUGCCAAGUCGAAUAAAGUGAUCACUAGUUUGCGAAGCUACUAAGAACCGAUCGGCUGCUCUUUCCGCGAUGAAACCCGUCGAAGCAACCGGAGGGGGCGCUCCCCCAGUCUUAACUAUAACAAAGGGCUUUUGCUUAAGAGAGUACCAAGGACUCGGCAGGCGAGCCUACACAACUACCUUAACCAACCUGUCCUGAAUUGAACCUAUCUUUUGGUCAAAUGUAGAAUAAUAGAUUUCCGCUCACCUCGUGUACCUAUCUAUUCCUCUUCCUCGAGCCGAAUAACGUCUUUCAGAGCCUAGUCCUGUACGGCGUUGACUCUCUCUUUCCCGUUCGUCUGAGAUCCCGCUCGUUCCCGUCUUUCUAUUCAGUCCCAUCAAGUUGCCUUCUAUCUAAGAUGGUAGGUUCAAACCAUCCUGUUUGAGUGCUAGCUUCCAUUGCUAUUGUAAAGCUAGUUUCUGUGUUUUUUACAGAUGAAGUGGAUUUGCUUUGCUAUCGGUCUCGGCCAGUUGAAAGCUAUCUAGUUGAAAACCGGGGUAAGAUUAAGGGGUUGUCCCCCAUUUCCCUUCAUAAAGCCAUAUCCUAGGGUAUUUAGCAUGAUCUAUCUCUAGACCAUUUGCCCUUCCUUCUGAUCGGGUUCCGCUUGUAAUAAAGAUCAUUGUUGAUAGCGCCUCGUAACACCUCCUAUCGUCCCAAUGCCUGUUGGAGUGCCAUUGCUAAUUCAGAGGUAUAUAGUGGUAAGCUAAUAACAUUCAUUUUCAGUAAUCAAACACAGAGGUAAAUACGGAAUGGAGUUUCACCCACUAAUCAAAGAAGUGCAGAAUUGAACUACCAAGGUAAAUGAGUUCGAGCGCAGAAAGAUUGGAAAGAGCGCAUGCUCCUGCUGAUUCAUAUGAGAGAGUAGACUUUGCACUUGCAACUGACUUGCAUUCGCGUGUAGAUAACACUGAUUGUCCCGACGAUGAAACUGAUUGUACCGCUCUGCUUACCGAAACACCUCUGAUUCUUAAUAGGGUAUGAUAGGAUUCCACUCCAACGGAAAGAGACUAUAAGCCAAGAACUAUCACUGGCACUGACCCGGAAAUUGACCCUGCUUCUUGACUUUCCACUACUAGAAGCAUCCAGAUAGUGACUUAGUGACUCGAGUUCUUGUAUAGAAAUCCUAUUUGUAACCAGACAUCUAUUAUACUCUCUUUGGGCACUUACAGAGUUCACCUUAUAUCUAACUUAUGGAAUGAAAGUCAGCUGGAAACAGAAUAGAAUCCGUUCUUGUUAAGUCAACGACAUAAGAAGCAACAUAUGGUGAGUAACCGGGAGAUAGAGUAGGCUCUGGAUCAUAAGUGUGAGUUGAAAGAUAAGGAGUCGGAGAAGAAACUGUUGAAACAGAGACAGGAGCCAGAAAAGUAUUCGAAUCGGGAAGUUCUGUUUUGUUCGAGCAAAGGUCGUAGAGAUCAUAAACUGGGUCAUAAUUCUGAAAGUAGUCGUAGGAGUGCCUCAUUAUUAAAGGAAGCUGUGCUGUCAUUUACAAUAGAAGAAGCAUUAGAGUGUUGUCUCGUGGAGAAUGCCCUGACCGAUGUAGCUCAAAGUAGUGGAGUGAGGGAUGCGCGUAAGGGAGCAAGAGUCGAGGCGAGAUAUUCUAUUAAUGAAUGAUGAUGAAGACAGUUUACACUGCAAUUCCUUACAUUUAAACAAGCUUCGGGAACAAGUAGAAACUUAGAUAACACGGUACCGGUGUCCACGCCUCUUUGCCUCUGUCCAAGUUAUUUGUAUAGGGCCUGCAAGAAAGGGUAUCUCCACUGAAGCUUUGGAUUUGGAUUCACAAACUCGCUAACGUAACGCACAAGGGCUUACUCUAACUAAAGAAUCUCUUUGAGUGCACUGAUUGACGAAGGUAUCCUGGCAAAGCAACCCUUCUGAUCACUUGCACUUGAGACGUAAUCAUGGAAUUGAAUCUCUCUUGCACUAGAUCUAAAUAAAGAUACAGAACGUACAAUCACUUAUGGAACGAACAAGACUUGAAGAUCCUAUUCCGACUCCGGAUCCUGAGUAUUCUAUUGAAACGACUUCUUCUACGAGUUUUCCUCGGCGCAAAGAAAGAUGAAGCGUUUGUUGAGGAAAUUCAUUGAUUAUAUAAGUCUAUAUAUAAAGAGAUAUAUUCCUUUCCUAGUUUUCCUUUUUGACAAGGUGAAAGAGAUAUUCCAUUCAAGGUAAGCCAAGCCCGUUGGAACUCGAAUAACCGACAACACCCGAACAACCUACAACUUAUGGAACAAUACUUUUACCACAUCAAAAGCACAAAGAGACUCCGCAGACUAUAACGGGACUAUCACAGCUGGUAAUCCGGCUUCAUUCCCUAAGUUUCCGCCAAGGUAAGAAACAACUUAUAUAUAUUUUGUUGGAAAGACACACCUUGUUGGAAAGACACACACACCCCGUACCGUCAGGCUCUUAUACGGCAUUGACGCCUCUAAUCUUUGCCCGGUUCCUCCACUUAUUUAUGCCCUUCCCUCCAGUGGAUUGGUUGGUGCCUUUGCUCUUGUUGAAGAGAGCGUUCCAAAUAGAGAAAUUAGUCAUAUAUCACCUCCGCUAACUCAUUUAUGGCUUUUGAUUCGAACUCAUUAGCGCACCCGCUCCAUACUUGACUUGAACAAUAGGGGGAGUAGGACCAGAAAUAGGGGUUUCUCUUAAACCUUACCUUACCCGAGUUGAUGUUCUUGAUACCUGCUUGAGACCUGACUUUAUACUUUAGACGAGACUUCUCCAGCACUCAAAACUAAGUAGGGAGAGUUGGGCUGGGCUACAUAAUCCAGAUCAAAGGGAUACUUCUCCUUUUUGUCUCGCUCUAGCAAGUAGGUUCGAUUCAAGUGCUUGUGUCUAAGGGUAGCUCUUUGUCGUGGAGUUCUAGUUUGUGGAGUUCCCCUAUCUGCUCUCGUGGUGCUAAUGCGCUUAUUAGAGUAGUGAGUCGAUUCAGUGAGGUGAGCGUUGGUAAUUAAUCGUUUCACCCAUGUUUCAACUUCAAGAAUGGCCGGAGUGAUGAAAAACAGAGCGCUCCACUCGAAAAGCUGUUAGAUAGGUAAGUCAAAAGUGUUUCUAUACCUCUAUAACAUACCAUGUGCUCGCUAUACAAUGUGCGAGAGAGAUUCCAUUCUUUGAGGAGAGUAAGGGCAGGAGUGAAGUCAGGAGUCAGUUGAAGCAAAAGGUAAGCAAUGCGGUUAGUUUGUUUCUUAUUUGUGCAAAGCCACUCUCCAGGACAACCUCUGGCGCAAGGGAAGAAAGAAAGAAAGCUAGAGAAUAUGCGAGUAGGUAAAGAAGCUGGAUCUAAAGAAUCAUCAAGAUCAGGAAAAGAGGCUGUUUUUGUUGAAAGAGAAUCCGCUGGCUAAGGUGUUUCAACAGAUUCGAUAGUUACUGCUGGCUCUGGCUCUAGGCUUCUACUGUUUACGAUCAGGUUAUUAUUUCAAUAUCUCUCUUUUAGUCCCUUGCUCUUGUCUGCCCGCCGACACUUCCCGCUUCAUUCUCUCUUUGAUGUUAUGAAAUUGCUUUUGCUUAUUCAUUAUUAAUAUAUUAAUUCAGAAAUGUGUUGUAUUAAUUCAGCUUACUUAUAUUAAGAUGGCUGAAACGCUGCCUAGCGAGAGAAUCCCAACUAACCACUCUGAGAAUUGAACUGGUGCCUCUCCUACCUUAACUGAAGGACACGAAUCAAACUACUCCUCCUAUUACUUAAACUAAGAACUCGGGAUUACAAGACUCAAUAUUAGACUUUAGUUGCAGCUAACGAGGGUGAAAUCACUGCAUACAAGAAGAGACCAGUCCCCGGGAGAGACUGGAAUCGCUACUAAUAGGGCUACAGCUAGGAACUGGGGAACGAGCUAUUAACCACUGAACUCCACUCCCAAAAGAGAGACUAGAACCGCAGCUUCCGGGGCUGUUACUACUGAGUUGGAUUCUGAUCCUAUGUAUCCUUGCAGCUGGGUAGUUAGAGUAUCCUUUUACAGGUGUAUCCCGAACUCCACAGUUGAUACAGCCCCACAUUCUUUUACUUAUUACUCAUAUCCGGACUUCCGUAUUUGAUUCUUGGAAGUAGACCCAGGGGAUCCCCUUACUUAGACUUCUAUAGAGUGAUGGAACACUUAACCAAGAGAAUUGGAAUGAGGAACCCUCGAGUGAAAAACAAACGAGGCUUAAAGACAUGAGCAGCGGACCCAGACAAGUAACUAAAAGCAUUAAAGGGCGAGGAAGGGUUUCUUUUUGAGAUAUAGUAUUCUAAGAAUUGGAGUUAGGUGUAAGGACCUGAUCCAAAGGAAUGCCAGGCUCGAGCUCAAGCUAACAGAUUAGAGAUCUGAACACAGGGUCUAGGCCUGUUAUAGUGGAAAUAUAGAAUGCAAAGGACAACCAGAAGACUAACUACCCGACAACAAAGGGAGUGGCGUAAGCGAAUGGUAAUCUAGGGUCAAGGUAGGGAAUGAGCGGUACUACUAUCAGAAUUGGGCAUUAGAGGUGUGACUCAGAUCAACCCCAUAAGAAUCAAUAAAGAAACUACCUUACUACAAAUAAGGGGUGAAAGCGAGCCCAAUAGGUUAACAUACAGGUUUCAGGACUGCAAAGUAAGCCUAAAACAAAGAAAGUCAGCCUGUUAGGUAAGGCGUGGACUGCCCCGGGGUGAUUCAUAAGGCUUGUCUUCCUUAGUUUCUGCUUUUUGAUAGGAAUAAGCAAUAGAAUGGGCUGUUGGAUUCCUUUUCUCAUUGUUUGGAUCCCUUGUUUCUUGUUAUCGUAGUAGAAGCAUUGGUUCCAUUCUUAACAGUACAGUAGCGGUGUCAGUUUCAAAUACUUAUAAUAGAAACGAUCUGUAGGCUUUCAGCACCUUCUUAUAAGUCAAAGCAUGAGUAGCACUGGUGCAAUUAUUGGUAGUAGCCGAUGUGAUAUCCGUCUUAGAAGUAGGAGUCCUAGAACCAAAGUAAGGGAAGCAAGAUUGAUAGGUUCAAAUCAGAAUCUCGGAUAGGAGGGACAGCUUUUAGUUCAAUGGCUAAAAGAUCCGGGGGUCGGUGGCUAUAGCCUUCAAUUAAGUAGUUGGUUCCCUAUCUAUGGUUCCAAACCUUGUUCUACUGGCUAUCAGGCUAGCUAUACCGAUCUCACAUCUUACACCCCUUACUAAUUCUUUGACUUUAUGAGGUGAUUUCUUAUCUUGUAGGGAGCUAUAGCUCAUUCUGACUUCUGAUAGAAACUCUUCUGUUGUAUAGCUUAGGUCUUUCUUCUACUUACGAGUGCAAUGCCUAUUAUGCUCGGGUGUUAGGCUAUUACUCCUUACUUCAAGGCUUGCGGGUAGGUUUGCAUUUAUUAGAUGGGCAUUAAGUAGUUCAAAACUGCCUCUCCUUAUGUAAAGUAUACCGCUACUGACUUUGAUUCUUCAAUUGCUUAUAAAUUGUCGUAUUAGAUUGGAUUAGGAACUCGGGCUUUCACCGCUGACUUGGAUUCUUUAGCUGCGGAUUUCGAUCCUUACUCCUCUUCUUUUGAUUCUAAUACCUAUGUAGUUGAGUUGGAUCUCAUAGGGUAGUAGCGCAUUCCCAUAGUUUAGAGUUAAGGCCUUGUUGCGGCGGAGUUCAAUCAGGUCUUUCUUCCCUUGUAGUGGUAUUUUGAUCUAUCGGGCAGUUUCGUUUGGAAUGAAAUAAUCGGGGGUGUAGUUAAGUUCUCAAGUAAUAUAGUGCCUGUCAGGCAGGGUACAAUAAACACUCUGGAAAUAUGGAAUUCUACUAAAUAGUCAAGUAAUGAGAGCGGAGCGAGGGGAGUCAGAUUGACUACUUGUCAAGUUCAUUAUGAUUUGUAUGGGUUUCAUUCCGAUAGUACUAAGUUGGUAGUAGGCUAACAAUCACACAUAGGCAUUGUGAAGGGACAGCUAUAGGCAUUGCAGGGACAACUCCAAGAGUGAAAUAGCCAGCUAGGAGUUUCAGCCUACAACUAAAGGAAAUAAAUAAGUCAGUAGAAACCCGGAACUAACAAGACUCUAGGACAGGGGUUAUAGUUGGAAUCAAUAGAUAGGUUCUUGAGAUAGGCAGAGGCAUACUUCAACUUAGAGAGCGGGAAUGCCAGGAACAGGUCUUCAGGGCCUAAGAGUUUUGACGAGGAAUAAGAAUCUAGUAGUUCCAUAAAGAAUGGAAGGUAAGAUAGGCAGGCUCAUAUCCAAAGUUAGGUGUGCAGGGUUGGUUCGGAGGUGAGGUAGAUUUUGUAAAUGACAAAUAAUUCUGGUACAAGCACAUAGGAAUUGGUUUAAGGGAAUUCUAGUUUGAUAGCUAGGUUAGAUAUACUACUUCUCUGGUAGGCGGAUAUUUAGGUUUCAAGCAAGGGAGUAAUAAUAGGAGUGUAAGGGAGACAGCUUAGUGCCCCGGAGAGCUAGUCCUAUUUCUUUGUUUGAUUCUUUCUAUCAGCAGUUUCCCGUCUUAGAAGCACUGGUUGUUGUCCGAUCUCUCGCUCCCCGGCCCCAUUCUGAUGAUUAGCGCUAUUAUUCUCUUAUUUUGGGCAAUCCGCUAUUAUUCUAUGACUAGAUGCACUUACUUAUAGGCUUACUUUACGGGCAACCAUACAACUCUUCGAAUACACCUACGACUAACAAGGCGGUAGCUCUCAAACUGUAAUUGAGCCCAAACACCACUGCUAAUAAUAAAAAACACCGAAGACAGGCAAGCAUGCAAGGGACAGGACUAAUCUAUUUCUUUUGAAAGUCAGAAUCUCUCUUUUUUGCGCUAAGUGAGAAUAUCCACUCCAAAGUAGAAACCCUAAGCUAAGGCACUAAACUAAAGCAGAGGACCUAAACAAAGAAGUCGUCUGUCAUUCCUUGACUACAGUAUUUAUUGAAACUAGUAGCCUGUAGCUCAUAACUCCCGAACUUACCUCUUGGGGCACUAAUAUCAAAUAAACCCCCAUUCCUCCUGUCUUAAGGAAGAAAACUCAUAACUACCAAACUACCGCUCCCGUCUUUCGCUCUGUAGUAGUAGCUUCGACCUUUACCCUUGCACUAGUCCACUCCUUCUUAAAGUCUGCUUUUCCUUUUGAUUAAUCUGGCACUCUUUAUAGGCAUUCUUGACUUGUCACUAUCAGGACUAGAUUCCUUUCUUUUAGCCUUACCUAAUGGCCAACUAAUCUUACCUGCCCGGUUCUAACUCUUCCCCCACAACUUACCAAACGAAAACUACUAACUGGCUCUUUCGCUCUUGGGACUUGAGUUGGUCUCUUCCACCUACAAAUAUCAGAAUCAAGGCCCCGCAACUACUAACAAUAGAUUUCAGUAAAUAACCGACUCUUCUCUUAUUCUAUCUUAUGCUUCUAAUCUUGUUUAUUCUACAACUCCGACUUAUUAGCUUGAUCGCCAAAAUACGGACUUGCUCUUAACUCAACAAAUACUUACGGAAAUGAAUCUAGCUCUAGCUGAAGCAAAAAAGAGAACAUUGAAUCAGGUAACUCACUGACGCUAGAACACACACAGGACUUUUGAGAACUCUACGGAAUUAGGACUUGCUCAUUGUCUAGUAGUUACUUGGCGUCUGCUUGUCGGCUUGUCUACUUGUCGGACUUGAAACUGUAUACUUUGACCUCGAGACAAUGGAUGGAAAUGAAUUCUUUGUUGACUUUACAAGGCGAUCGAAAGGUUCAGCUAACGUUGGGGCAAUUCCUAUGUUCUCCUAUGUUCUAUUUAAAAGAUAGAGAUUCGGCUGUUCUAGUUUCAUCUUAUAAAGAAGCAGGGUGAAUUAGGUCUACUUGUUCUGUUGUUGGCUCUAAGUCGGCAUCGACAAGAUCUGAAGCGGAUCAAUGAAAUUCCAGUCGAGAAUCUCUUGGGCUUGGGGUAGCUUUAGAAGCAAGUAAACAAGAAGCAGAACCAGUUGAAAGCUUUUAAUGGAAAGGGAAGAAACGGAAGAAUGUGAGUUCCCCGAUAGGUAUGAGAUUGUUACCCGCUCUGUUUAAUAGAUAUAAGUAAACACCCCUGUGCUCCAUCUCUCUAGAGAGAAGUAAAAACCCCUGUGCUCCAUCUCUCAUAAGUUAGAAUUGAACUAAUAACUAUAAGAAUGGAAACCAUCAAUGAAAACUUGACUCGUUAAUAGCUCGUGUUGAAGCAAGUGAUGAAGUGUAGUUUGGGACAGAAAGUGUAGUUUGAGAUGCAGGAUCUUUCUCUUUAUCAUCAGCUGGAGCAGGAUAGUCUCUUUGUGCUGGCGAUGGGUCUAUUUCAGUUCCUCACUCAACAGAUCUAGCUCCUGCGGAUUAUGCUUCUCUUGCGCACUGCUUUAUAUAUUGAUUUGGAUUCGGCAACUGCUCCUACUCCUGCUUUGCUUCAUCUACUGAUCUGGUUUACUUAACAAGAACGGAAAGCCAAUGGAACCGAUACACGGCCCUAAACGGAUACCUGAACUCCGACUCUUAACUGUCCUAAGAAUUAAUUGAAUCUCCUUCUUCUCUUGUGCCGAGUCAAACUGUAAUGGAAUCUUUUGAUUCGGUUUAUGGAACUCCACCAGCUACAGGGGGACAACACCUUAUACAACUUUGAGCUAAAGCCUACUUAUACUUAACCGUUACGUCGACUUCUUCCGAUCCGGCAUCAGAUCUUUAUUCAUCUCUAGCAUCUUAUCUCUAGUGAACGAGUCCUGUGUGCGCUGGUCAUAUGGGUUGCAUUCUUAUACUGAAUAGUGGAAUUCUUACCUGCUGGCUUGGUUUGGCUUUGUAAGCUAUGAAAGUCUAGUUAUUGCCCCAACUAGUAUACGAGUAGUUUCAUCAGUAGUAUACGCUCGGUCAUAACCUGUUCUUGAGUACCCGGACUUUAUUCUGACUCCAGUAUUGAGUUAUAUUAAAUACUGAUACCUGAGUAAGGAGUGAGUUUCAUUCAGAUUAGUAGAAGUAGAGAGGUCGGGUACCAAUACUAGAGUUGAGGUCUAAGUUAAGUCCCAUCCCAUACUAUUUCCCCAUUUGCAACCAAAAAUCCCGGGGCCAAACAACUACUAAUGUUGUGCGGCAGCAAGUAAUAGUCAUAACAGAGUUAUUACAAGUCCUGUGUUCGCGUCAAAUUGUGAUUUCCAUAAGGUCACUCAGGAGGGAAAUUGUCAGUGCUACCAAAAAACACGGGUUUCGUCAAAAAAGGAAGAUACAUCGAACCCUUUAGGAGGGAGAAUGCCCAUGCUAUCCAAAAUCCCCGGGUUUCGUCCAAAAUGAAUGACUUGGGGACCUAGCUAGCAGGGGAAAUCUUGUUGCAGCCUUUUUUCCCGGGUUUCUUAAAAAGUAGCAUUCCUUUUUGGUUCGAUAGGAGGGCAAAUCACUUCACUGCCUUUUUUGCCGGGUUUUGGUGAAGUGGAAUUACUUGUUUACUGACUUGGCGGGUAGGUUUGGAAUGAAGUGACUAGGCUCGGCAGGUUGACUGACUUGCUUGUUUGUUGCAGGUUUACUGACUUGCUUGUUAGGGUGGUAAACUGACUUGCUUGUUAGGCUGUUGACUGACUUUGUGAGGCAGGGAGAGUUUCAUCUGUAUUAGUUGGGUCUUGCAAGGGAAGUGUACUAUUACCCAUAGGUAUGAGAAGCAGAACUCACAGAAGCUUACUUGCGGAAUUAAUAUAUAAUAAUAUCCGUAACUAAGGUAAGAAAGAGAAUGCCCAGUGCCCCAAUCCAAUGUUCCUUUGCAUUUAUUAAUCCUUCUAGCUGCCUUAAGCCUUUGCAUUUAUUAAUCCUUCUAGCUGCCUUAAGCAAUGCUUUAGAGUAAUUGAUUCUCCCGAUAGUCCACAAGCUAAGAUAUUAAUGACGAGGAAGGCUUGCUAUGCUACUACAAAGCAAAGAAUAGGCACCGAAAUGAAUGGACACCUUAUCUUAUCUCUGGAUAGUUUGCAGUGGCCUCUACAGUGGAAAUAGAAUAGUCAAAGCGAAGUCCGUUUUCAUUUCACUCUUCUUCAUGCUAUCGAUCCCGAAUCUUUCGAUUCCUAAAACAAGCAAGUAAGCAGAUACUCAAUAGUGGAAAGUGCAUCCCUUGAAGUUAAGAAAGAAAAGGCGAAUGAAUCCGCGCUUCCCGAUACGGCAUGCUGCUAGCUGGUUGAAACUAAACUAAUAUAUCCCCCUCCCCGCCGCAAGCUAAGAUAUUGAAACAGUCGAUUCAGGGGUAGAGAGAAGUAUCAAGGGGUGUAAUCCUUGGUUGGUAUUUGAUCACUAGUAAGUUCUACUAUAUAGGGAAAAGAGUAACUAGUAGGUUAUACAAUAGAGGAGAAAUAGAUUGCUUUGCUUCGGCUUGGAACCUCCACGUGCUACCUACAACCUAUUGGUCUCAAAUACGGGUUUUUUUCGCUUUAGUUGAUUGGACAACCGGCCUUAAGGGCGCAGAUCUAUCCUUCUCUCAUUGGGAAGGAGAAGGGACUAUUGCAAUCCUCGACAGGCUUUCCUCAACAAACAGGCUAAUAAGCUUUCUUUCCCUCAUUUGGCAGUUGCUUUAAUUCCUUUAUUUGGAUGACCAGUCGCUUUCUUUCCCUAACCAUUGAAUAUCGGCAUCCCGAACCGAACUCUCUACCACUACUGAGAAGAAUAAGGGAUCUACUAACUGAGAAGAAUAAGGGAUCUACUAACUGGGCCAAUCUGAAUGAAGUUAUAGGAGCAGAGGUAGAUUAGCCUCAUUCAGGUAUCAGAGUUAGAGGAGAAGAAUGCAGUUCAUAGUAGGAAAGUAGUAGUUACAGAAUCCAACUAAGUGGGUCAAAACCCAGCUACUAGAGCAACAAAUACAGAAUGAACCAAGGAAGUGAAAGAAUGGAACCCAACCAUAGGAAGUGAGAAUUGGACUCGUUAAGUAGAAGCCUUAAAGCAGUGACAGGUGCUCCUUCUCUCAACCAGCGAGUGAAAGUCCAAGAAUGCAAGCAGUAAGUCCAAGAAUGAAAGAAAGGGUAACAGGGCAUUGAACUCAUCAGACAUAGAAUUCCACCGAUACUACUCAGAAUUGACCUAGGUAGUCAAAGAAUGCAGCUCACACCAACCAGGCUGAACCGAGGCAGUGAUAGAACGAAGCAAAGCCGACUAAGAAUUCAACUCAUCGGUGAGCUAGGUGAGCUAGGGUAGUAAGUGAGAAUGAAACCAGUCAGUGGAAGUGUUUCCUCUGCCUUUGUCCUGUGUUCGGGUACUACUACUGCUACUGAGUGGUUGUUUGCCUACUGAUUUACUAACAUCGGUGCAUUUACAGCUAUUGGAAAGAGUGGAACUAGUGCUUUACAGGCUCUCUAAACACCCGACCUAUCUACUUCGAUAAAAGAAAAGAAUGGAAUUGAAGACUACCUGCUACACACCGAGCUUACCCGAUACACCGAGCUUACCCGCUACACCGAGCUUACCCGAUACACCUUAUAGUAUAGGGAACUUUGUUGACUUCUAUAUCGGGAAUUACUGAGAUGUUCAGUUUCCGUAGGUGAUUGUGUCGGUUCUUCAAGUCGAGUAGAGGUUGGCAAAAGGUAAGUAUUGCAAGGAAAGUUUACGACUUAAUAGUGAAAGAGAAAGAUCCUACUGGAACUCUCUGUACUGAAGCUGAAGUCUCGUAUCUGAGUGUAGAAGGCAAGGCCAGGCAAUUCAAUGAAGUGAGAAUGUAAUCUACAAUAGAAUCAUAGGCUAAAGCAUCAGCUAGAGAAUAAUAAUAGGAUUUGAAAGGAUCUGUUGCUUCUUCACUUGUUGGAAAAGAAAGUAUAGUGUGAGUUGAAAGAUCAGGCGAGGAAUAAUUGACUGGCGGAGAAGCAUAAACAAGACUAAGUGCUCUAAGGCAAGUUCUUCGAUUUGUGCUAACGUUAAGUGAGUUAGUUCCUUUUUUGUCAACGAGAUCUGCAGCAAUGCGAAAGUAAGUUGUCGAUGUAGUUAUCCGUGUUGUCGACUUGAUAGGUUCUUUAUUGGCUUGAUUGGUUUGAUUACCUUUACUUGGAAAUAAACCUUCUUCUACGUAAGGUGGUUCUGCGCUCUACAUCUGGAUCUGGCGUUCCUGCCUAAAACUAGAAACUCAAGAAAGAAGAUUGUGUUCAAGCUUAUAACUCUCAAGAUGAUGUUGAAAUAAGAUCAGGAGCUGGCUACGAUAUAGAAUCAUAGGCUCAAGCAUAGUCCGGAUCUGAAGCUGAAGAAGGAAAGUGGAGUUCCGGGAUAGAAUAUUUGGCUGCUAUCCCCCCGAUCUGAUAGACUUCAAUCUUUUCCUGGUGGGACCCUACGCUAAUUUCAUUCCUGUUUGAUCGGCUAAUGCGAGGUCGGGCAAGACAAUCCUUGUAGUUCCGGUUGGGCAAGCCUAAAUAAGUAAGGGCAGUGGAAUCAGUAGUAGCAGCAAGCGGGGUAGUAUAUAAGUCAGAAGUUGACAAGUGGGGGUCCUGUUUCAAAAGAGACUGUUCGAGUGAUAGGAAUUGUGAGCCUACCUUUAAGGAUUGCUAGUAGAAGUAUAAGACUCAGAAUGAAACUCCGUAGUAACAGUAUCGGUCGGCAGGGCAAUAACAAGUGCUAACUGGUUUACUGACUUAGUUGACUUACUUGUUUCAUGAAGUGACUAGGCUAGGCUGGAAGUUACUUGUUAUGAAGUCUUUUACUAGGCCAGCAUCUAGACUAGUGGAAUUAGUUGCAUCCCCAUAUUCCCUUGUUGCAUCCUAGUCUCCCAGAGAAGAGUCAUCGGCAGGAUCAGUAUCAAUAUAAGUAGUAGCUUGGCAGUUGCCAGAGCCCGGAUAGCAAGUAGUAGUCCCAGCAUUAAGGUGAAGGUAAGGCUUAAGAGGAGAGGUGAGUCAGUAGGAAAGUGAGAAUGAAAGUUCACUGGUCAGAAAUCAACUAGUAAGUAGAAGGCUUAGGAAGGUAAGAAAGAAACCAGUAAGUAGAAGGAUCAGACUCAGUUUCAAGAUCAUAAGCUAGAUUAGGGGUUCGCGCUUCAGCUGUAAUUUCAAGUCGAGUUAGGGAUGCGAUAACGGGAGCAAGAGACGAGCCUAGAGAUUCAAUCAAUUCUGAAGCGUUAAGUAUUGCCAGGCCCAGACUCAGGAGUAGGAAAGUCUAAGUCGUACGAGAGCAUAAAAGUUGGGUUCUGUCCUUUACCCCUGCACUAGAUGGCCUUCCCGCUCACUCACCAGGGGGCGCAUAUAACGCAUAAGUUUGGUCAAUAUGGAAAUUGGAGAUAUCAAUUCCAUUCUUAUAUACUAGCUUCUUUCUACUGUUCCUUCCGUGUUUCACUUCCUUCUACUGUUCCUUUUAAGGAGCUCAAUCCUAUGAUUCUGAUUACAAAUAGUCUUCCUCAAUACCAUGAUUAAUGCUAAAGUAAGCGCUAAGUCAAUCAUACGCGUUGGUUCCUACGAGUGUUAAGAUAGAUUCUUAUGUCGGCGAUGUAGCUCCUUAUCGGCCACCGGUUCUUUUGUUGUCGACUCGAUAAGGUGCUGUUUCAAGAGCAGAUGCUGUAUUUGAAGCUAAUAAUUAGGGAAUAACAGAAGUUAGUGCAAGUAAAAGGUGCAAAUGCAAAAGUGUGUAUAGAUUUGAGUCAUCUUAUUUCAUUAUAUGGAAUCUCGGUGUUGGCGCAGCUGCCCGCUCAAAGUACUUUCUACAAGUUCAAGAAACAAGCUUUGUAUAAUAUGUAUAGCGUUAGCCGAGUUUGUUGCUUGUUCCCUUGCUUUAAGAGAGCGUAACCCAAUCUCAUUCUGCUGGAAUACGAGAGUUCUCUAUAAGGCCUCCGCCCGUCCUUUCGCCUUUGUUUAUGAGUUUAGCGCAUACUACUAUGGAAUACGAGUACUACCAAUAAGAGUGGAGCUAGUAAGUAGAAGCCUAAGACCUCCUUCCACGUAUACAGAAUUGACCUAAGCAGUUUCAGAGUGAAACCCGACAAAGACAUCUUCAAUCUGGAAGGUGGAAAACAGACGAAAAGAAUGAAGGGAGAAAACCAUCGAACAGGAGUAGUGAGUUGGCAUAUGUAUUAAUUCUGCAGUGAAAGGUAGAAAGGUAGAGAACAAGAGUGGUCAGCAGAGCAGGAGUUUAGAGUUUACAGAGUGAGAUUAGCAAGAGAAGAAGAAAGAUCCGGGUCUUGUAUAGAAACAUCGGUAAUCUUACCAACUUAUGCCCAUCAAACUAAAGAAAGUGUUGUUUUAGUGCUUUUUCGUAUAUACCUGUUUAUAGCUCCCGCCUGGUGGUAUUAUAGAUGAUAGGCUGUUCUGGUUGAAUCCGUUCUCCUACUGGUGGUACUACCCCUGUGACUGUUGGAGUUAGAGGCCAAACAACUACUAGACGCCAAGGCACUGGGCAAGUAACUACUAACGUUACGCGGCAGCAAUAAGAAGUAUGUUAUGACGUAGUUAUAACAAUUCCUUUGUUCGGGUGCCGCGGCAGGAGCUGUUGGGCUAAUGUGUAGCGUCAGCGAGCUAAAAGAGCGGCAGGGCUGUUCCCCCGGUCCCUUAUGAUUAUUAGUAGGAAUGCCGGAGUGGAAGAUUAGGUAGUAAUGCCUGAGUGGAAGAUUCGGUUUCAUACCAGGUAAUUGAAUGAAAGAAUGAAACCAGUAAGUAGAAGCCUUUGAAGCAAGGUUUAGUGGAAGUAGUAAAGUGGGAGUUACAGAAUUGACCUCAGCAGUCCUCGGGCACUUAUUAGAGUGCGGGUCGGGGUUCGUUCCUAUUGCCUAGUUAAGGGGUAUGUAGAAUUCCUAUACAUGGAUUAGAUGCUUGUGUUAAGCAAUGAUACAAUCUAUCUCUUUUGUAGGCUUGUCCCCUACUGAUUUCUAUCUGUUAUUAGUAAGGAUUUUGUUGAGAAAGAGAGAAGCUGCUUUAAUAAGAGAAUAGUUGGAAGUUGCCAGAGCUCGGGUCUAUUAGAGGUCGGGUCGGGGUGCCUCUCUUCAAUGAUUGCAGUGCCUUCUAUUCAAUGGUGAGUGGUGCCUCAAUCUAUCUUUGCGCCUAGAGAAUCUGAUGGGUGAGGUUCAGUGAGAAAGUUAUGAAAGUUAUUAUAUAAUAAAGAAAGAAGGUAGUUAACCAGGUAGUUAACCGGGACAGACAGAAAUCAAUCCAGUUCGGGGCGGGGCAAUCAAUCCAUUGUUGCUACUGCUGCUAGUGGAGAUGAGCCAGAAGUCUUAUAUAAGAGAUGAGCCUUAGUUCAAACAGUAGUAGUUGACAGUUGCAUCAGUAUUAGUUGACUCCGGUAUCGGAUAAGAAUUAUGGUAUUGUUGCCAUAGCAGAGGUGGAAGAGCCAGAGUUAUAGGCUUUGAAGCUAAGCAAUAAGUACUGAAGUCCAGAAUGCAACUAAGUAGUUUGAGAGUUCAACUCGGUAGUCUUAGACUGAAACCAUCGACAACCAGGCUUCAACCGGUAACCAAUCAGAAUUACCUCCAGGAGUGACAGAACCAAACCAGUCAAUCAAAGAAUUAGACCUAUUACCAGAUGUCUUCGUUGCGGUAAGUACUGAGUGGAGCCUAGUUGGGGUGCCUAUUGCCUAUUCCAAAUCAGACUUAGUUGACAGAGCCAGAGAGAGAUAGUUUCAAGUCAGAAUGAACCCAGUAAGUAUAUAAGACUCAGAGACAACCUAAUAAGGUAGAGUUACAGAAUUGAGCCAGUGCUUUCCAAGGCUGAUACCCCCGCUGCUAGUACUGAAGUAAAGAAUAGGCUAUGUUGCCCGAGUUGGAUGAGCCCGAGGUAUUCUAUAGGAGAGGUGAGCCAGUAGUAAAGUGAGAAUGCCACUGGGUAGUUACAGAAUGCAACAGUAGAGGUGGGGAUACGGAAUUCCAGAAUGAAACCGGAUCCGAGUAUUUAUAAGUUGCAAAUAGGUUGGAUUCUUGUGUUAGUGCUUACGCUAUAAGUCGUAGAGAGAUAAGUGCUUCUUCAGCUUGUUCUGCUCGAGUUGAAUCCUUUAUCCCAUAAUAAGAGAGGGGUAGUUCCUUGCCUAGUGACUUGGUGAUUUCGUUUUAUGGUAAAUUCCCUAUGUUGCCUCAGGAAAUGACCUUAGAGUGCUUUUGAGUCAUGAAAGAGAGCCGUCUCCUUCUUGCUAACCCACCUACAAUUUCAGAAGAGUUAGGUUCUUGCUACUACAAUUAACAGAGUUCGGGAAGUAUAGAAUUGUAGCCAGUAGAAGAGGCCUCUCUAAUAAGUUUCGAGAAGCUGUUUCAUCUUUUCUCCUUUCUUUUUAAAGAGAUAUCCAAUUUAUAUGUCAUUUAUAUAGGACAAGUAACGACUAAUGACCGCUAAGUCACUACUACAAACUCAAAGAAAGCAGAGCAGGUAGAGAGCCAGUUAUUAUUUAUAAAGAGUAGUAAAAACCUAGUAAGUUGAUGUGCUCGUAAGUUGAUGCAAUCGGUAACUAUUUCUUUUCGAGUCGUUGCUUGGCCCCGGUGAUUAGUUCAAUUCAUUAGUGCACUAGCUCAUUCUUAGCCCUUGAGCACUCAGUCUGACUUGGGCCUCCGCUCACUUGGGUUAUUCCUAUUCCUUUGAUUCUGAGUUUAUAGUCAUAGUCUCCCACUCCCAUAUUACUAGUUUCAUUCUUGUUAGUGAGAGUUCGCACCUUGUUGGUUGAUUUCUUUACGAUAAGAUUCCGUAUCAGAAUCAGCAUUUUCAGUCUUAUUGGUAUGAGUCGAUUUCCUACCUUUGAGUUGUAUUCCUUUUAGUGGUGGCUUAGGUAAAGUUUCAAGGUAGGCUGCUUCGGGGGCUGCAGUGAAGGGCUGAUGGCUAUUAAUUGAAUUCUAAUAUGGGAGGGUUUUUCUUGUUCAUGGAGUAGAAUACUCAAACUAACAAGCAAGCCUAAGAGGCACAGGCGUUGAGGAGCAAGAGAUAAGGGCUAGAGUCCGGUGCUAUAGUUGAGAGUUGGAUUCCUUAAAGUAGUAGACAGGCUCGGUAGACUAAGAAAAAGGGAGGGCAGCCUUAGGUCCGGUAGUGACAGUCCUAUAUUUACUAGUUUCUUUAUUGAGGAAAGAAGUCAGUCUUAUAGUAGUAAUAAGUAAUAAGAGUAAUGAAAUAGUAGCAAUAAGAGUAAUAGUAAUAAGAGUCAGUAACGUAGGAGUGUAUUAUAAACUCUAUAAUAGGAAUAAGAAUAAGUAGAUGUUACUGCCCUGUUGCAUUCUGAUCUUAGUACUUACUAGUCUUUUACUUACUUGUUUCAUAAACGGCACUGCUUUAUGGUUUCCCACUUGUUAGUUCCAUUCUGAAAUUCCGUAUUCCUAGUUGAUAGCUCCAUUCUUGUCAGUAGUAACUCCAUUCUUGUCAGUAGUCAUUGGAUUCUUACUUGCUAGUGAAAGGACUGCACUUUUCCCCCACCAUAUCAGACUGUAGCUGUUGAUCCAGAUCCUAUGUUAUGUGGGUUGUUGCUACUAGUAUGUCCCUACUCACCUGAAACUGUAUUUCCUCUAUAUCAAUCUAUGCGCUCUACUCGCUAGUCUUACUGUACUUUCUCUGAUUCUUAUUGCCCCUGACAAAAUUCUAUCUGUUAUUCUGACAUUGCUUGUCAUUAUUCUGUUGACUUGUAUUAAUGAUAAUUAUUCUGUUGACUUGUAUUAAUGUAAUGCAACCAUUAAUUAGCAUAUAUUAACAUUAGAGUCAUUCCACCGGUUUUCUUAUUGAAACUAUGUCGGAACUGUCUAUUGGUCCUAUAACCUGGCUUACUUAACUACACUGAUAAUAGGGCAUUGAACCAAUAAGUCAAAGAGUCAGAAUACAGCUCAUAAGUAAUAGAACCAAGCUAAGUAGUAAGUCAAAGCUACCGGUCUGAAACUCUCACUCGACCUGGAACAGGCAAUUAUCUUUGAACUCAAAACUAGGAAUAAGGAAUGGAAGAAUGAAACCACAACUAAGGCGAAUGACACUCAAGCGGAGGCUCUUAGCACCUUACUUACUGCUUUGACUGAUUUCUUUGUUUACUUAUUUCUGUAGGUCAUAGGUGACUUUCGGUAUAUAUUAUGCUGUUACUUAUUUCUUUGACCGGCAGAUUGGAAUCGGUCAUAACCUCACUUUUGAACUGGAACUGGGGCAGCAGACUGCAAUCAUCUUUCUGAACUCUUUCACUCCCGGCUCAUCUAACUCAAGCCCAGAAAUACUCCAUUCCAGCUCUUUUCACUCUUUCUCCUCGGAUCUAGCCUCUGAUCUUGAAACUGAUCUCUCCUCUUCUCUUGCUAUUUGAACUCAGUUAGUUUAGUGCUUCUGCCUCACCUCUUUUUCAUCCACCUCUGUCAACAAUCUAUUUCACCCUGCUAGCUACUAUUAACUGCAUUCUUCUCCUCCUGGUCUCUGUUUCUGUCCGGAAGGUAUCCAGCAAAAGAAUCCAACCUACUACUUAAAGAAUCAACCCUAAAGUAAGACCUAUCCCUUAACUACCCCAACAAGUAGUAUUGACCCAACAAGUCGUAUUGAAUAGAGGCGCCCCACACCCCAACAAGUAAGUUCACUACCCUAGCCGACAAGCUACUCGGGAUCAUACUAGGUAUUCCACUCUCACAGGAGCAGGACUCCGAUUGAAGAGCCAUAACCUGAACCUCUAUCCUCUAAACUAAGUCUUGUCAACCUCACCCCCGCCCUCGUAUUGAAGGGAAGAAACCUCUCUAACGCAACCGCUCCAAAGGAGAAUCAUGGAAUUGACGCAAGGCACUACCCUUUCUUGCAGGCCCUAUACAAAUAACUUGGAAAGAGGCAAAGAGGCGACCCACCUGUUAGAUAAGAGUUGAUACUUGUUCCCGGUUUAAAUGGAAGGAAUUGCGCUGGUGCUCAAAGGAAAGAUGGAAUUCUUUGUUUGAUUGCUCUUUGCCUUAAAGUGAAGGAACUAAUUAUCUCCUUGUUUAAGUAAGUUGUGAAUGAGUCUGGUCGUUUAAGGCAUGUUAAACAAUGAUUAUAGCUCAUCACUCAUGGGAUCCUCGUAACCAGUCCCAAAAUGCAUUUGUAGCCCGGACUUGCUCUAGGCUAAAACUUUACUUGAAGUGAAGCUGACCUGACCAACUUAUAAGAAUCGAUCCGACCUGACUUGCAAACUCACUCCUGUCCCGACUGCUUACUUGACUCACUCCUUGACUUUCAUAUAAGAUAGAACUCCCAAGGUAAAGAACUGGCCGAGUCGAUUCGGCUUAUGGAACUCCUUCGCUAACUCCUGGCCUUCGACUUCGGUGAACUUCGUUAGCGUCUAAACUCCGUAAGCUAUACAUUAGACUAAGCUUGUUGGGCAAACCGUACUACUUGACGCCUAUCUGGUACAUUCCUAUAAAUCCAUAUGUAUUUCACUCUACCACUUGACUUUCUACCCUUGCUUUCUUUUGUUCAAACUCCUUUAGCACCCCCGCUCGCUAACGGGCUUGUUGGCUUCUACUUUUCUAACUCUUCUCUUAUUUAGUUCAGCGCGGUGUACUUUUUUCAUUGUUCUCUUUCCUAUAAUGUCAUUUAUUAACCCAGGCUCUGGCUCUAACUGCUGAAGCUUCGCUUCCUCUCUGGACUUUGAAUCUACUGAACAAGCAACGUCAAAUAGAAAGUGACAUAUGAGUGGUGUUCAUGGCGUUAGCGAAAGAGCUCGAAAGAUCUGUUGUCAUCGGUGUUAGUUGAGUGAGUUCCUGUCUUCAUCUAAUGCGAGUUGGGUUGAUAGGUCAAUUACAGGGGUUUCAAUUCAUUGAGUUGAUAGGUCAAUUACAGGGGUUUCAAUUCAUAGGAAUAGAGAAAUCCAAGUUUCUGGGUUUACUGUUUGAGUUGCGCUAGUCUGGAUUUUUCUUAUUGGAGUUGUUGCGGGCGGAGCGGGGAUAGUGAGUUCAUAUUCCAUGAUUUUCUGCGCUUACGGGAGUUUAGUUGACAAUAUAAAUGGGGUUUCAAUUCCGUUUGAGUUGGACUCGAUGCAAGACUCAGUGUUGUGCUAAGGCGAGUUGACCGAACAUGUUGGCUCUAGGGGCUCUUCAAUUCCUCUUCUUAUAUGACAUGUGUGCAAGAGAGAUUUCUUAAGUUCAAUGGAUCCGCACGUAAGGAGUUUGCCGGAAGGGAUGCUGUGUUGAGUAUAGAAUAGAAUGGUUUUGUAACAGGAGAGGACACGAAGUAAGUAAGAGGCCCGAUCAACUCACUAGCGCUCUUAGAAAGCAGAAAAAGUGUUGUAUUCUCGGGAACUAAACCACACCUAGUGCCUAGUAGGGGAGAAGAUACCUUUGGUAGUUCUAAUGCUGCUUUGGAGAACUGAUAGACGAACUUGUAUUCAUGGUAAGGACACGGACAAAACCAACUCCCCGCUUGCAGUUAAUAACGCUUUGUAUUAUAGUAAGAUAGAAAAGAAACGAACAAAAACUCAGGGAAACUUAGAAAUAUAUAUUGCCCGGCGCGCUGAAAGGGGGAUGACACCGAAGAAAACCAACUGAGAUGAGAAGAAAAGAAGGGCAACUAUUUGAGGGGAAAAACCCGAUAGGAAGCUGGUAACUGAGUACUGAGGAAGCUAGUAACUGAGAGAAAGAGUGUAUUACCAAUCUUACGCAUUUAGUACUAAGAUACAGAAUUGUGGUGAGGCCGAACAACUACUAGAGCAAUAAAGAGAAGAAUCUAGAGCAAUAAAGAUAAUAAUUCAUUUCUGGUUUCUUUAAUAAGAUAAUAAUGAAUUUAGUAUGCUUUCUUAUACUGUGUCUGUACUGAGUAUGUAUAUGAGAAAGAUGAGUGGUUUUUCGGGUUUAUUGCAUUUAUUGGAUUCCAAAACUACCCCCAUGUAUUGUAAUUCCACUCAUAAACUAAGAAUAGGGGUAAUCGGGGCCUUCUUUCGCAUCCUGAGAUGGCUUUAUGGCAAAUAUUACAUUUGCUACCCCCUUAGGGGCCAAAAGAGUCCUUUCUCACUAUAGGAUUUUUGGUCUAAUAAAGGGUUUAUACCGGCUUUGUUGCUAGGGUAGUCAAAAGAGAGUACCAUCUUGUGACAGGACCCAUACGCGGCACCCACAUCUAUGAAAUUAAUUACACCCCGACCCGAACUAAACUAUGGCUCUGUACUCUUCUCGACUACUGACUUUAUAACUACUGUUCCACUCUAACAAUAACUGGGGCAGUGAAAUUAGUGACAGCGAAAUCUCAUUCCAAAUGGCUUAUCUCACCCAAGAGCAGAAGCGGCAGUUACAAGAUCAGAAGCGGCGCAUCUCUAAUCUAACACCCAGCUACGGCAGCAACAAAUACAGAAUUCCACAAGCCCCAACCCCACAAAGUAAGUCAACUAAGGAAGUAAACCAACCGACCCUGUGAAAACAUUCCAACAAGAAUUCUCUCUUAUAUAAGAUUACAGAUGAAACUCGGCAAGUAAGUAAACAAAGUCAGUAAACAAGCCAAACCUAGCAACUUGACCAAACCUAGCAACUUGACUAGAGCGUAAGCACCAACCCUACCCGAGUCACAGGUAAAUUCUCCACUUCCCCGCAUCAAACCGGGAUUUUGGAUAGCGAAGUCUACUUAGCCAGUACUUAUUGCUUAGCUUCCUCGCCUUUACGUUACUCUGCCCCGACCCGACCGACCCUACUUCUGGAUAAGAAUUAAGGUAGAACAAUAAAAUAAGGUAAUGACCAGGAGCCCUGGACCGGUUAGACCUAUUAGUACCCUACUCUGGCAACUGACACUCGGUCUUCAACAAGGAAACAAGGGUCGAUGUCAUUUAGCUAUCACAAGAACAGGAGACCAGUAGAGGAGGAGCCCCAAAUACGGGAUUCUUUCUUGCCCAACCCAGUAGUGCUUCUUCACAUACUACCCGCGUAUCAAAGCGAGCACUCGAGAAAGCCUGUAAGAUAGUCUUUCCCAGAACUGCUAGGGAGUACUUUCUUCUUCAACUUACAAUAAGGGCCUCUACAUUCCCUAUGGAUACCCUAUCUCUAAUUCAUUCCUUAUACCCUAUCUCUAAUUCAUUCCUUAUAUAUAUAUGCCCGAUCUUGAAAAGCACUCUCAAUCAGGUUUACGGUGUUUAUUUAACAGUUCUUGUUCUUGUAAGUAAAUGAGUAUUUCUAACAUGAGGAAUGUAGUAGCACCGGGUAGCAUACUUUUUCCCGGUAUUCGUAGUACUGGUAGCAGGGCAGGGCGAAAUAAAGGUUGCCAUCAAUGGUUUCUGUUCUUAUUAGAAGAUUCUAUUUCCACGUUCUGUAUUCGAGCUAAAGUGAGCUUACAAGUCGGUUAAGGCAGUAGACCCAACUAGUCACUGAUAGAGCAAAGAAUGUCUACGACACGAACAAAACACUUUCGGAACUGUUCACUCCUUACUUGACUCAAAGAAUGGAAUAUCUAUAUGAUAUCUGACUAUGAGGCUAUUAACUAAAAUGAACUCUUGCGAUAACUACACCUCUGGCAACCUAACUUCCCGCUUCUUUUAGCACUUACUUUGGCACAGCUUUUCCUUAUGAGAUGCAACUUGAACGGAGUCUGCUCCUUCUUUGGCUCCUGUUACUUACUUCGUGUCCUCUCCUCUGACUUUGAAAUCUAUACAAAUCUAUGAACUGGAGUACUUUGAGCUUCAAAACCGGUACCAGAGAUCUUGUUUCUGCUGAUGCUAACGCUGAAAAAGGAGACAUUCUAAAGCUUACUCUACUGGGCGAGAACCUUUGUUAGUUAGAAGGAAGGUAGAUUAGAGAAGAAUGAUCUGUUCAACUAGAUGUUGCUUAUUCUCCUUCCACUCCAAUCCAAUAAGUGUUAGCGGUGCGAGUACCAUUGAUAGUGCUUGCUGUCGGUUCUUCAAGUUUCAUUUUCGCAAUUAGAUCUUCUGCUUGUUCAGGUUUUAAGCGAGAGUUUUGUGUCAGAGUGAGUAGGCAAUCUGAUGGACUAAAAGAUUAAGCUACAGGGAGUGUAAAGAGCUAGUCUAUUUCAUUAGGCAAAAAAGCAUUAUUAGAGCAUUUGUUGGUUUUAAUGGUGGAUUUUCCAUUAGCAUAGUUUACCAAGGCUUCACUUCAACUUAGCAAAAGAAUGAUUUCCAGCUAGAUAAAGAAAGUAUAAGCAACAUAAGGAUAAGGAUCUUCUGUUGUUCGAGUUUUCUCCUAAGCAAUGAAAGUUGACUUCGGGUCGGGGUCCGCUUAUUCUCUUGAAACUCAAAAGUGACUUUAUACAGUUGAAGAUCGAGUCACUCUGUUGUUGAUACACUUCUAUAUCUUCUGAUCUCGUUGACUUUCCUCUAUAUGCAUCCUUAAUAGAUUACACUCAUUCACUUAGUGCUGAAGAAGGCUAUAAGAAAGGUCAAAAAGGGCAAGAAACGGAAAUGCUAGUGUUGUCCCGUAGAUAGAAGAGAAGCCAGGUGUUGUCCCGUAGAUAGAAGAGAAGCCCGCGCACGCCCCUUCGUGUCAAGAUCAGAACUCGCUUUCCUAAUGUCCCAAAAGAAGAGAAAAGUAGAGUAUAAACAGAAUAGCCUCCUUUUAAGCGCUAACGAAGCUAGAACCAGCAAGUGCCUUCUGUCCUAAAUAAAUACUUGUUCUGGGAAGUUUGGAAUGGAAUUGAACCUAUGCAGCACCUGGAUUUCCACUAGAAUCAUAAGGGAGCGUAGAACAAAGCUUUGGCUCUUUCUUUCAACUAAUCAUCAUAAGGGAACCGGGGUAAGCGCGGGAAGGAACGGGAAGUAGACUCCAAAAUCAGCAGUGCCAGUGAAGUCGAUGAGAUCAGUAGCUUGAUCGGAAUAAGGUAAAGAAUAAGGAUCAUCAUAAGGAGCAAUAAAGUCUAUCGGAACAGACGCAAGAGCCCUUUUUGUAAGUUGAAGCUAUAAGCGGUUCUGAACGGAUAGUCUAGUUUGGGGUAUAGUAGUAGCUUGGAAGUUUACAGAGUUAGAGGAUAAGACGGAGCCUAGUCUGUAGCAAGUGGGUUAGAUAAGAGUCCAGGGCUAGUUCCUGUGAUAAAGUAUGGUGAGAAGAGUUCGGUUCGGGUGCUAGUGUUAUAUCAACCGGGCUUUCCCCUUGUAUACGAGUUAGGCUCGGAUGCUUGUGUUAAGCAUAGAAGAAAAGAUAUAAUUGUGUGGCUCUGAUCCCUACUUGGCCCCUACUUCAUUCAUGAUUAUCUUAUUAAGGAUUGAGUUUAGAAAGAUAGAAGCUCCACAGGGUCGGGGUUAAUAAAGAAGUGUUGUUGAUUCUUUACCGCAAUUAAGGUUAAGGCACUGGACUCAAAUCUACCUCAUUGGCAGCCUUCACCCGGAGUUUGCCUCUGACUAAGCCUUAGCUUCACCUUAAAAGAAUGCUUGGACUAGACCAGACCACAGAUCUUUUGUAAAUGAAAUCUUAUAAUCAGAACAGAAACUAUUGAUGGCCGAACACAGGACAGAGUCAAGGGAGGCUUCAUACAAACACCGCUAUACUUGCUACUUGGGCAUGAGAACUUCGAUUCCACUCUAAAAGAAAGAUACUUGACUGACUUUUGAAUCUCUAACACCAUGCUACCUGGCACCUGACCUAUACAUUACUUCUAAGCCUUAACCUGACUUUCUCACAGGCACUGGGGCAGCAGACUUUCCUCGCUCACACCUCGCAUCAAAGGCAUUCCAUCUAAACCUUCAUAGCUGUAAGUUUGAUCCUAUAUGAAGAAUUGGAAUUCAGGGGCAGAUAUCUAAGUGGUUUUCUACCUUCCUACGUAGCUUGUCACCCUCCGCUUGUCGUUUCUUUGUCGGUUUUUCUUUUGAGUUUAGCUGUUGGUAAAAGAGUUAAGUCGGGUCUUCUACUCCCUUAUUCUUACCCGGCUCCAAAAAGAGAAGUAAAAGCUCUAGUCUAGCUCUAGGUCUCGAGGCCUCCAUAAGAAGUCUAGGGUGCAAGUCCAGUAGUAUACGCUUGUUGGAUCAAGACUAACUUCCCCGGCUUCAGAUCUUGUUCCUUUAGUUUGAUACCCUCCCUUCCGUAGGAGUCCGCUUGCCCACUUGCUAUAUGGUUUCAGAAUUCAGUUAGAUGAGCAAGAUAAGAGUAGAGGUGUAGUUGCCUUGCCUUAGUGGGGAGAGUCGCUCUAGUUGAAUGAGUUGUCGAUUCAGAAAGGGAAGCUAGUAGUUUCUUUAUAAAGAGUUUCGUUGACUUACCCUAUUGCAGAGAAUGGGGGAACUCAUAUGAGUGGAAUUCUUUGACUAAUGAGUUUGAUUCUUUACUGAAGUACUUAUAGCUUAGCUUCCUGGCAGAAGCCUGAGUUCAAAUAGUCUCUUGAGCACCAGAGUUGGGUUAGUUGAAAGAAGUUAAUAGGCUAGGAAGGAAGUUAGUAGUUAAGUUAUGAAGGAAGUUAGUGGUUAUGAGGGAAGUUACUAGGCCUGCAUCUUAGGCAAAGGCAAAGAAAGCAGAUAGGGAGAAGAGAGGAGCAAUAAAAGUCUUAGCUGACAGAGCAAGAGGCGAGGUAGGUAAGGGAGUCCAGAGUCGAGGUUUAGUUGACAGCUGCUGUUCUUGUUCGAGGUGAGGCGUGUUGGUGCUGCCGAAUUACUAUAAGGUCCUGUUCUGGUUGAAUCCCCAGUGGAAUCCUUAUUAGUUGCCCGAGUUGGAUGAGCCAUAGGUAAGGUAGUAUAGUAGCAAUAGGGGUCUCAUAAGAAAGAAAGAAGAGUUUCAGACCGGAUAUCAGUUGGAAGUAGUGGUCCUGUCGAAUCUGUAUUAGUUGACUCCCCGGUAGAUGAGCCGGAGUGAGAUUCGAUGAGAGCAAUAACAGUAUUAGUUGACAUAGGUAUUGUAGCCAUAGUGAUAGUUGACAGAGAUAGAGUUGACUUGUCUACUUUCCCUUAUAUACAAGCGGAUUUACCCUUCCUUUCUUUGCCAGUGACUUGGCUGGGAUGAAACUAAUUCCCCUAUAGUAGUUUAAGAAUAAAGUAAAGGCUUUGAUACGAGGGUAGUUUACUGACUUAGUUGACAGAGCCAGAAGUAUAGUAUAAGAAUGAAGUUAGAUGAGCGCUAGGUAGGGUGCCAUGCCAGUACAGUUAUAGUCGUUGGUGAAUGAAUGAAAUAGUCGUUGGUGAAUGAAUGAAAAUAAGGGGUGGAGUCUCUUAGUAUUGGUAGGAGAGUCUUAGUUGCUGUUCUCUUAUUCUGAGUAUUAGACCUACUUCCUUGUAUUAGUGCUGAUAUCCCAGGAAACUGUAUUUGUAUUAUAAGUAUUAGACCUAAUUCUUUGUAUUAGUCCUCCCUGUGUUUCUCUUUUGAUUGAACUUCAUUCCACAGCCAGGCAGAGGGGCGGGGUAAUGUUUAACUCAAAGCUUACUCAUACUUAUUACUUCACUGGCAUAACUCCCAAUACACAACAAAACGAGUUUCUUUCUUUUUAUUACUUAACUCUACUCUACUACUCCGCACCGGCAUAUUCCACUCUUUCACUUAGGGCAGCUGACCAACUUAUCAUAUUUCUAUAGCCUGUUCCUUUGCCGACCACAACUCUACUAGGUUAGCCAAUAACUUCUCUUGCAGACGCUGCAGAACUAUCAUUGGAAGACCCGCUUGCUGUUGAUAACUUGGAUUAGGCUCCUUAUAAAGAUACUGAUUCAGUUGUCGAUGUCUACUUUCAAUCUUCUGCUUAAGGGUGUGGGUUGAGGUUAGUAUUAAUUAUUCCAGAGAUGAGAUUAGGCUUCAGUUUACUUUACUUCAUACACUUCGACAAAAGUGCUUGUGUUGUCGGUGAAGAAAGGAUGGUUCCGGUCUUGGCUUGGCUUAGAAGAAGAAUGAUUGUUCCCACCCGCUUCCCUAUUAUAGAUGUUGGUAACCAACCGGCGUGCUCUCUCUUUGCCUACCUAGUGCUCGAAACUCAAAUGGUUGAAUGAAACUAAGCUUUAAUAGAGACCUUAUAGUAAGUCCCUUAUAGUAAGUUAGCUUGUGUUAAGCAAGUAGUAAAUAGAGAAUAUAGGACCUCCUGAGGAAAUAGAUAAUAUGGGACCAGUACAAGCAGAUGCCCUUAAGUCAUUGGGGCAGGAGAGGAAGCUUAUUACUUCAGAAAUAGGAUUAGGAACAGGGCAAAGUCACUACUGGACAAGUAGACCAGCUCAAUAGAUCUCAUUUCUAUCUGAUAUAGGAAAACGGAAGCGGCAGCCGCUCUAGAUUAGGACUCCGGGCCAAUCAACUACUUAGCUCAGGGCUUUCAACCUACCACUCCACUACAGCAGCUGGCUUUCAUCUUAGCUCUGCUCUUUACUUCCCCGAACCCCUUUCCCUGUCCUAAUUGGGGUGUGAACCUGCAUUUGAUUCCCGAGUUGCCGAGUUGGGGCAAGCUAUUAGUUUCUUUAUAAAGAAGAGAGUUUACUUAACUACUGUUCCUGCUCGAGUUGCAUCCCCGAGUUUCAUCUGUAUUUGUUUACAGAGGUGGAGGAGCAAUCAAUGGAAUAGUUCUUAAAGCCAUCAAUAGUGAGUAAAACGUAUAGGAGCUGGUAGUAGUUAGUUACUUGUUUCGCGUACAGUACGAGUAGGAAAGUGAGAAUUCCCUUGGAAGGGCAUAAAUCUAAGUCCGGCGGUUAUGAGUAUAUAUAUAAGUCCAACCACUAAAAGAAUUGCACUCCAAGUAAAGGACAGAAACGGGUACUAUCUAGUGCAUUACCCAAGCUGGUACUAUCUAGUGCAUUACCCUAUCUAAAGCUGGUACUAUCUAGUGUAUUAGGUAGAACACUUAGAAUGAAAACGACUGACUUGUAUAUCAAGGGCAAUCUCUUCUCUUCUUGCAACUAAUACUGAAUCAACUGGACCACUACUUGAAGGCCCUGUUCUGGAGAGAUAGUAGUUAAGGUUUGAUGCUCAGCAGAUAUAGUAGGCUUUGCUUUCAGGCAAGCGUAUACUAGUUUCAUCCCGGCCAAGUCACUAAGGGCCAAUCAACUACGGGGCCUUAGUUUCAAAGUUAGAGACAAGCAACUACAAAUCCUCAUUUUAGUAUUCGUGGCGUUAGCGAUCGGUGGGAUUCGGUUGGUUACUUAGCUCUAUUAGGCGGAGCUCAUUCUGAAGUUUGCAUUUCAUUCUGACUUUAUGGUUGAGUUGAGAUCCCUUGUAUUAUAUUUCGAGUACCCAUCGAACAGGAAUUGGAAGAAUGAUGGUAUCAACCCAUCGAACUGGAAUUGGAAUAAUGAAGAUAGAAACCCAUCGCAUCGAACAGGGAUGGGCAGAAUUCGGGUUGGUGGAAGGAAUACUGACAGGAGUGGUGAGUUGACUUACUGGUAUUGUAUAAGAAUUCACCUAGUUGUCGACUUGCCUAGGAACACUAGCUAAGGAGCCCCGGGGAUUGAACCGUGUUAUGAUUUCUUAUGUUAUGCCAAAGCGUAUAUAGGCCUGAUCCUAGUAUGUUAUGCCAAAGCGUAUAUAGGCCUGAUCCUAGUAGCUCGCAUUCAUACUUACUAUUUUCUGCGUCAAAUAGAGAGUUGGAUAACGAAACCAACAAAAGGGUCCGUUUUUCUCGAGUCUUCUUGGUCGGCGAAGAGUCAUCACAGAUAUCCUAGUUUUUCUUUCGUCAAUCAAUUCUAUUAGCACCUUCGGAUCUGGAAGUUAGGAUGUUCUAGUUACAGAUGAAUGGAGGGGGCUUUCCGAGUCCAUAAUAUGGGAAUCGCUUGUUAUUUAGCCGACUGUGCACGACACUCGAAAGGGAGGGGGCGUAGAGUAAGCCGCUUCACCUUCUUGUACUAACUUAGAGCAUUACUAACCCAAAGCAAAGCCAAUCCUUUAGGGCAUUAGCUAGAACCAGAUAACUUUGGCUUGAUGGUAAUUCACCAUCUCAGUGAUAAAGUAGUCUGCUGCAAGCGAGGAAAGAAAUCAUAUUACUCCGCCGCUACAAGGCCUUAGAAACCUAUCCCUUAUUACCAAUAUUCUGCAUUUGAAGUCGUGGUUUCAUAUCUAUCGCUCGCAAUUCUCCAACUCUCUUCUUUAGUAGAGGACCGGAGGGAAGGUAGAAAACUACAGGUUUACAAUUGAUAAACACAGGCCAAGCUACAUCCUUAUUAUAUGGCAAAAGUGAGUAAUAACAGCUUACUUGCUCACCCAGUGCUCUUAACCAACCAUAGCUACGUUUUCAUCAAUCUCGUUUCUUUGGGUGCUUCAGAAAGGGGAGUUGACUAUGACCCAUUAUCUGCAUUAGUAACUGAGGUGCCCUAACUAUAUAGUACUGAAGUGCAGAAUUGACCUCGCCUCUUGCUCUUGCUCAUCUACUUCGAAGUUAUUCACAAGUACUGUAUUUUAGGGAAUGUUUUCAACUGCGAAAUCUAAUAUGAAUUGGAAUUAAAGGGCAGAUUCCAGGGCUGAUAUAUAAGUAGUUUAAUACCUUCUUUCAUCUUAGAAAGAAAUAGAUAACCACAAAGAGAUAGGUAGCUUUCAAAGGGAGAUAAAGAUUCCACUUGCUUUCCUUUUGCCUGUUUAUUGACUUUAUUGGAAUCAGCAGUUAGAGAAUCCGCUGUGCGAGUAAAGUCUCCAAGAGAGGAGUCGGGUGCUUGCCAAUCAGUAGAGAGAAAUAUAGGGUCCUGUGUUGAUGCUCCAGCUCUAAGUCGGUAGAUGAGACUGUAGGUCUGUUAUGAAAGUGAAGUUCAAGGUCUGUUAUGAAAGUGGAGUUCAAUUGUCUAGCUCCUCCUGUGUUCCUGUUCGAGUGAGAGUUUAGGUUGGAAAUGCAGAAAGUCAGAAUGAAAGUAGAUGAGCCAGAGGUCAGAGGUAUAGUCGUGACUUGGCCUCCGCUUGUGGAAUGACUUGUUUUAUUCCAUGGGCAAGGUAGUAGGUAAGAAAGGUAGAGAAUAGAGUUUACUUAACACCUUAGGAAUAGCUGAAUUCAAUGAAAAAGAAGUGCAAUUUCUCAUAUACCAACACAGUAUACACAUAGUAGGGGAAAAUAUAGGAUAAUUUGGACUCUUCUUAUAUAGGUGAACGGAUUCUACUCUGAAUUCCUAUACGAGGGCAGGGUAGUGAAAUCACAAAUAGGGCAAUUCCGUAGUUAAAGAAUUUCACAAAUAAGGUAUCGGCUUUGAAUCAGUAGAAAGAGAAUCAGCAGUGCCAGUUACAGUUCUCAAGUAUGGUUAUGAGAGGUCGAUAGGUAGGGUCGGUCGGCAAGGGAACCAGUUCAUAGUUGUAAGAGGGAAGCAGUUCAGGAGGUAGGGUCGGGGUUAACACUUAUAAGAGAUAGGCUCGGGUAGUUUACCUAGGCUCGGGUAGGCUUUUUGACUUACUUGGCGGGUAGGUUUACUUACUUAGUUGACUUACUUGCUUUUUCAUCUGUCUUUGUUUACAGAGCCAGAGUGGAGGUCGGGUUAGUAGCUAUAGGUACAGAAUAGAGGUGAAGUUACAAGUUAUAGCCAGAGCCAGAUAGGGAUGAGAUCGAGGUCAGUUAUGAUUAUUAGUGGGAAUACCUUUAGUUGUAGUCCAGGUAGUAGUGGUCCAGGUUGCCAACCCAGUGGAAUCUGUCUUUUGACCCCUAGUUUCAUCGUAUCUAUAGGCAGUGAGAAAGUAUGGUGUGUUGGUGCUCUAGCUCGAGUAUAGGCUUGCCCCUGUUCAGUUCUAAGGUAUCUCAUGGAUGUGGGUAAUUCUAAAGAAAAUAGAAAGAAACUAGAGCCAAGUAGUGCUGUUAAAGAGGUGGGCAAGGGAGGAAUCAUACUAUACGGAUCUAAAGCAUAAGCCGGGUGCCCUUAUGAUUAUUAGUUGAAGACCUGAUUGAGAGUGAGAAAGUCUGGUGUUGCGCAAGAAGGAGCCAAUGGGAUAGAUAAGAUCCCGACUACUUAUUAUAAGUAAGGGCGCUAAGAUAAGUUAGUUCAAUUCUGAUCUAGUAGGCGACUCCCCCUGCUUUAAGUCUUAUACUCCCUAGGUGCUUUAAGGCUUCUACUUACUAUAUGAAUUCUUUGCCUACUGAGCUGCAUUCUGACUUUCCACUGGCACUCCUGGCUCGUUGCUUGGCCCCUUACUUGCUGGUUCUAUUCUGAUCUUAGUACUAGGUGUGGCAUUGCAGUAAGUCAACUCCCCUUCCAGCUUCAAAGCCUUCUACUGACUAGCUGGCUCUAAGGCUUAUACUCACUACUUGCAUUCUGUAAGGGACACUAAGGGGUCUUCUUCAACUCCACUUGAAACUUGAAACAAGCAAAGCUGCUGGCAACCUCUCCUCAAGCGUAUACUACAGGGCUGGGCUCGCUUACCAAAUCAUUCCACUUGCUACUCUCACUCGAACAGGAGCAGAACUACUCGACUCUCACCUAGACUCAAAGCCGGAGUCCUCUUCAACACCCGACACCUACCUCGUAAUAGAAUUCCCUGGACUGACUCUGAUUACCCACAUCCAUACUCAAAACUCUUAUCCAUUAUUCCUAAGCUUGUUUAUUGUCCUGCUUACCGCUUUCUUUUUUCUACAUUAACAGCUUUAGAAGGAAUUCAUUCCGCCUCGAACUCACCUCUUGACCCUUGCGUAAGCUGAAGACUGGAAUCCAACUCGCUAAGCGUCAGCACCUAUAACGUUAGGGCAACUGAUCUCCCUGAACUCGCCUUUAUUCAUCGCCAACCGUAAUAGAAGUGACAACUGGUUCUUAUCCAUAGAUGUAGUACCCAUUCUCAGAGGCUUGUAUUUGAUAUUACUUGUUUCUAUGCGCUAGAUAAAGUACCUUUUGUUUCAUGAUGACAUUGCAUUGGAUUUCUGAAUUAAAGUAAGGAGCACUCGGUGAGGUUGGUUGGCGAGAGGGAUGGCAAUUCUUAGUUGUUAGAUCCAUUUCUUCUCCCUUCUUCGCUCUUGCUUGUUGACUUCUCUUCUGGAACUCUCCUUUCAGUAACUUACAAUAAGGGCCUCCACAUUCCUUCCCGAAUUAUAUAUUAGGCCUUCUCUAGCUCUAUCUUCGGUUUCUUAUACAUGUGUGAGUUUAGUUACAUCCUAUAUCCCUUAAUGCAGAGUUGGGAUAAGUAGUGAAUUCCAAAACUAUGACUUUAAGGCGGAAGGAGUUGGCUAAGAGCACUAGGCUGCUGGAGUUAUAUUCUUAUUAGUUGUGGGUUCAUAGUAGCUAAGUAUACGCUUGGCCCCUUACAGCUUACUUAUAUUAUUUAGCUCCACUAUAAGGAUUACUUUACUGUAUAUAAGGAUAGAGCUACUGCUUCUCUUCUUCAUAAAAGAAUAGAGAAUAACAGUAGUUAGUAUAAGAAUGGAUAGGUGGCGUAAGGUAUCAGAACAGCCUACUAACCAGUCAAGGAAUGAAAGUGUCUAGACAUAAUAAAACAAAGAGUUAGGGCAUACGGGAGUGGAAGUACCAAUCCAAAAAAGAGAACUCGGGAAUCAACCGCCAAGCAACGGCCAAGCUGACAGGCAAUAAACUACUUACUUAGGCCAAGCCGACAGGCAAUACGGAACUACUGACUAGUUCAAUUCUUAGCUUUGAGCGAACACUACCCCGACCUCUUAUAAGUGCCCGACCCGAACUAACUCUAUCUCCCAGCUACAGCUUCUAAGGCUUUCAUUCUUGUUAGCACUAGCUCAAGUCUGAUACUUCACAGUUGCAUUCUUAAACUUAGCAGCCCCAACACAGGACAUAGCUUCCCUCGCCUACCUCGACUCGGGCAACUCAGUCAACUAAUUCUGAUUUCUUACCCCGACCAGCUCCAUUCUCAUACAUACGGGUUCGAGCCUGUAACUCACUGGUUUGGUUCUAUGACUCCCGGGAAUAGACUUGUAUUCUUACUUCACCACAACACUAGCACCCAAUACUGAAGCUUCAAAAGGUGGUUGAGGCCUCUUUCUCCUUCUAGCCAACCCUAGUACAACUCAAAAGUCAAAAGAAAACAUAUCAUAUAUACUCAUAUCAUAUAUACUAAUAUUUAUUCAAAGAGGAGGAGGACUUCCACUUUCAAAGAGGAGGAGGACUUCCACUUCCACUCAAUUACUUACCUAAACUAAGUACUUACCAGAACCAUCAAAUUGACAUUACCCUCAUUGCUUAACACAAGCACUCGACCCUGUCCUGAGUUAACCUUCAUUUGAGUCAAGAGUUUCACCUGUGUUCAUUGCUUUGAUACGAGAGUUUCACCUGUGUUCAUUGCUUUGAUACGAGGUGUCCAGAAAGAGUCCGAUAACACUCACUUCACUCGCCCAUCUCAUGGGAAUGUCGUCUAGGAAAGGUGCUUGGUUGCUCCUUCCUUCCUUUCUGAAUUGAGUGGAAGAGGGUAAUAAUUGAACUCCAAGGUCAGAAACAGAGGAAUUAGCCGAGUAUGAUAGAAGAAAAGAAGGUAUAACUUCGUGCCCCUUCCUUUCUGAAUUGAGUGGAAGGUUGCAUUUCAUAAUAGAACUGUCAGCAAUAAAUAAAGAAUGCAAUUCCAAAGUGAGAGUUUACCUCCUUCUCGCUAACCGCCAAGCUUAGUAUAAUGUUGCGCGGCAGUUGCCAACUCUUUCCCGCCAACCGACCGAGUUCUCUUACAAAGUAUUCAACUUUCAGGUAAUAACCAGAGUGCUGAGCGAGGUCUGCUAGAAGAAUAGAUGGAAGAGUCAAGUCAUAAGAGUAGUAAGAUAUCUAAAAGAGUCAAGUCAUAAGAGUAGUAAGAUAUAGAUUCAACGUCUGCUAGAAGAAUCUAAUAAUCAAGUCAGAAGUAACCUCGAAACGAAGAUGGCUACGCAUUAAGAGAUAAAAGAAGUCACAAACCCAGUACCUUACCUUCCCUUAAGACAUGAUCGACUACAGGAUCAGAAGCGUCAAAAGCCGGAUCCGGUGAAGCAUCAAGCGGUUCCUUUCCUUAAGUGGAGGUCGGUUCGGGUAAUAAAGUGGAGUUCCUUGAGAUCAAAGGAGGCCAGGCCAGUUCCAGUUACAGUUCUUGUGAAAUAUCAGCUAAUGGAAUUGUAUAAAGAAAGAAGAUCAUCUCUUUUCUUUGCUUUGCGGCAGAUAUAUAAGUAGCCCACUACACUCCGUCGGUGAAGUUGAAAGCUGCUGGUAUUUAGGUAUAGGUAGAGGCCAGUGGAGUAUCUAAUAUAUAGUCAAGGUUAUAAGAUCAAGAUUCCAUUCCAUAGUACAGGUCAUAAGAUUCCCUAGUCAAGGUAAUAAGAUCAAGAUUCAAUUCCAAGAGGAGAGUGAACAGUAAUCGGUUUUUCAUGAGUUUCAUCCAACAAGCUACUACUAGACGUUGAGCCCGAAAGACCCAAUUCCGUAUUAGUUGACUCUGCACUUCAGGAAUAUGCGCUGAAGAAGGGAAGAAAGAAUAGAUGCCUUAAAACAAGCAAAUCUUACAAGACAAGCCGACUAGUAAGUCAUAGAAUAGUAUGUAGAAGUAGAAUACUAUGUAUGGUAGCUGGUCGCGGGUAACUAACCUACCCUAGUGCUCCUUCCUUGUUUCAUUCAGUAUAAGUUGGCGGGUCUACAAGUUCUUUCUUUUGAGUUCGGGUGCUAAGGCUAAGCAAGUUCCAGUGCUUUUUCUGGCUUACGUUGAGGUCGGAUAGCUCUGUGGAGAUCUCCGUUUGAUAAGAAGCCUCAUCUCAUGCCCACUCAGCAGUUAAGCGGUCAAAUUGUCUGUAAGUCAUACUUUCCCUGCGCUCUAAAGGAAAGAAUAUUCCAUUGAGUAUAGAUAUAGAUAAGAUAACUUACUUAUAUACUAUGGCAAGAAAGAACAAAGAGUACUUCUUUCUUCAGCGUCAAGUUAAGUCAUGUUAGGCCCAGCCCAACAAACAAGCUUAGGUGAGCAUAAGGGAACAAAAGAGAAGAGAAGGGUUUUGGUGUAUUCCUAAUAUAUAUAUAGCAUAAGUUCAAUUAUCUAGUAUAAGUGCAAUUACAAUUAAUAGAUCCAUUUCAUUUGUGGAGCUUUUCGAGGGGCAAAGAUAGGGAAUUUCCAAUAUUGCUAGAGUCGAGUGGAUUCGGCUUACUUAUACGAUGAAACGGAAACUGGUUAUGCUGCUGCACAUUAGAAGAAAGACUUCCUUCUCCUUCUCCUGCUACACCGAACCUAGAUUUCACUAGCCCUGCUUGUCAUCUCGGAUAAAAAACCAUCCCAGCUUCUUAUUAAAUAGGAUCUUGAACUGGGCGAACUGGAACUCUAACUGAACCUCUCCCCUCUCCUGUAACUGAGUUCUACACUACCGUUACUAUAUAUAUUCUAUUCCACAAUUCUCUUCUUGUGGUGAACAGGACAUUAUUCAUCUCUUGUGGUGAACAGGACAUUAUUCAUCGCCAACAACAAUAACUCCUUACUCUACUUACUCGGAUACUGCUGAUCAAGCUUUUUCUCUCGGCGGCCUUUCGCACUUAACUGCAAUGCAACAUUUCAUUGAAUCUCUGUUAGCGCUUACAACAGAUCCGUUAGCUCCCCAUUAUACAAAGCUUGUUCGUUCGGUUCGGUGCUUGCUCUUUCGAAACAGCUUGUCCAAAGAAUUUCGUGCACAGUUCCAUUGCUUAUAGAAGAGUGUAAAAACCGAAGUUCUGCUAACGAACAACUGUCCUCUGUCCCUCAAUCCUAUGAGAAGCAUGUCCCUGAGUUGCUUUAAUAAUUGAGUGCAAAAGAAAGAAAUAGAGAGGCACACGUUGCUCUUUAAUCAAAUUCUAUUUGAGAGGCACCCGUUGCUUUAAGAUUGUCAUCUUGAUUGGCAGCUGCUAAGUAAAGAACUCCCGUAAGCUAUUAUAAUGGCCUGAGUCAAACAGGCAAAGUCAAGCGUCUCAGCAGAGUCAACUCAAAGAUGGAAAUUGGACGUUAGCACUUCGCUUGCUGCUUCCUUUCGCACCCCAAGAUAUCAGUAAUCACUGAGAGCUUCAAAGCCAGCCGAAUAAAGGACAAUGAAUUUCACUUGCCCGAACCUAUCUCUCUGCUCUGGUAUACUUCCUUCACUAAACCCGGCUUGGUCAUUAGUAGUUGCUUGGUGACUCGAACCACAGCUUCUAAGCAUUAAGCUCUAACCCUCGGGCUGACUUUUGACUUCAUCUAAUUCUUCCAAUCAAUACCGAAGUUCUUUAUUUUUGACUAUAGGUUGGUCUGCCCCGGGGUGAUAAAUAAGGCUGGCAUUCCUAUGUCCUAUUAUUAGGCAUUCCCAUGUCCUAUUAUUCGGUAUGCUAUUUUGACUUCUGUUAUUCUUAUACUACAAACUAUAUAGGUGCUGAAAGCCUGCCGCCAAACAGGCUCAAAUGACUAAUAAGUAGAAUCAAACGGGUACUUCUCUGACUUGAAACUCAUAGCCGGGAAGUCCACUACGGAUAACAAGAGUUGAACCACAGCGACUCGGGCUUCUACCCGGGCCAAGCUACUUAUACAAUUAUUAGACUCGAACAGCAGCUUCUAAGAAUGCAACAAGGGCUUCACAUAACAGGAAUGAACCAAGAGUAUAUGAGUCCAACUAGCAAGUAAGGUGUGUGCCCCACGGUACAAGACAAAUAGGAUCAAAUACAGAGAAUGGAACCAAUAUCGAUGAGAGUGAAAACACUUCCAAACGCGGCCAGGCAAACGACUAAUUAGAAUCGAGCAGGCAAUAAUGGAUAUGAACCGGGCAUAUGAUACUGGCAUCGGGGCUAACAAGACCUUACCUCACACCCGGGAAUGCAAAGAGUGCUUCCAAUACCGAUACUACUUCCUAAUUGCCUCUCCUUACUCGCUUUGAUUCUCUCUUUUAUUAUGAUAUUCAGUAAGAAGUUAUCUUAUAUGAAUUUCGACUCUAUUUAUUAGUAGUUUGCUUAGCGAAACUAGUUUCAAAAGCACAAUCGGUAUUCUCUUAUCAAUUUCUAUGCUUGUGCCGAUGUGAAGUCCAAUCUUUUCUCUUAUCUUAAUUACUCUUAUCAUCGAUGCAUACGGGACGGUCCUGCCACCUACUCGGCCAGUGGCCCUUACCUCUUCGAUCUGUUGCCCGACCACUAAAUGAAUGAGCUAUUAUACUAUAAGAAUGGGCUAUGUAUCGCUUUAACUUAAAUCCAAGAAUCGAGCUAAUAGGAAAAAGCCUUCCCUUACGACACUCAAACCUUGCUCACUGCCCUCACUUUCACUCUCAAACUACAAAAUAGAAGAAUUGGUCCAUCCGCUAGGAACUCUACUAGUGCUGACUGGACUGCUGCCGCUAACUCCUAUUUUGACUACCAUGUCGAUAAGUCUGUCCUGCCUUACUUGCAAACUCAAAAAACACUUCCGAGGUCGAAACCACCACGAAUAAUAGAAUGGAGCUACUGGAAAACAGGCUUACUGUCCUUUUGGGCUUGUUCUUUCUUUAGCUUAUCGCCGGAUCCUUGCUUUACGUGCCUUCAACCUUAUACUUAUGCUAGUUAGUCAGUCUGCCUAUCCACUGUUACUCCCCCGGCUUUCGUUCUUAAACAAGUGCUUUUCAUUCUUUCACUAAGGGUCUCGAACCUUGCUCCCUCCCUUUUCUUCUUACUUAUCUAUUUGAUUAUUAGAUUCAGUACUCUUUUCUCUUAUACUAGAAUCAAGCCAGUGCUACCAAUACAGCGAAUCCAAAGCUUGAAUCCGACUAUUACUAACAAGAAUGGAACCGGGUAUACGGGACCCACUAAGGAGAAGGGAUCCAACCAAUAAUACAAUAGAUCGAACUGGUGCUAACAAGGAAAAACUAUACUAUAUAGAAAUGAGCUACUGUUGGAAAGAAUGGAACCGCUACCGACAUAGUGACUUAUCUUUCUGUAGCAAACAACAGCAAGUUCUUUUUCAUUGAACAAUAAGAGCUAUGGUUGGGGUGUUCUGUAUAAGUAACAGAAUCCAACUUAGCAGUAACAGACCUAAGCCCGACAAGCAACAGCGUAAGGACUCUAUUCAAGCUAAAAGACUUUCAGACGGGAGUUUACAUACUAGCACUCGCGCAUAGGCAUUUCAGACGGGAGUGGCAGGCUAAGGGGAGCAGCUGUAUUCUGCAUUUACUGUUACUAGUUUAGAGCGCUGGACUGUGUGCUACGUCCUUAUCCUUAUUCUGGAACUAAUGAGUUCAAUCCUGACCGUGUCCAUCCACGGCUCAUUCUCUGGUUUUCAUCCUUACCUACAGGACAAAUAGCAUCGGAUUCUCUUUCUUAUCAUAGCUUAACACAAGCAUCCGACCCUAACCCUUACUCUCCACUUGAUAACCUCUUGCUGUUGAUUUGAUAACUACUGAUUCUGUUGAAACUGCUCUAACAGCAGACUUGGCGGGCAAAGCAGUCAGAUUAGAAGACUUUAUAACAGCAGACUUGGCGGGUGAAGCAGUCAGAUUAGAAGACUUUCUCACUGCUGCCUCAUCUGAUACUGGAAUGGAUUUGAAUUGAGUCUAUCGAACACUAGAUAAGAAAGUAAAGAAACUGCUUCCCUCUCUUAUGAAUCAGAUCCAGAAGAAAGUAAAGAAACUGCUUGCUUCCCUCUCUAGAGAAAGAUUCAAUGAAUUAUUUGUUGAGUAAGGAAUUGCUUGUUCAUUUAAGUAGAAAGUAAAGUAGAAAGUGUAACCGAAGUGAAGUAUAUAGUUUUCAAUAAGAAAUGAGUUUUGAAGCAAAAGCGGAAGGCAAGCUGUUAGAUUGAAAGUAAGGAGUUGAGUAGAUUAUCUGGCAGCUCUAAGGCAAGCAGUAAAGUAUCAUCGUAUGAGACUCAAUUGAAACCCCCGGAAAGUAGCUCUGAGUGCUCUUCCAUUCAUAUGCUUCUUAUAUGUGUGAUGUGCAUUCAAUUCCGUAUUAGUUGAACAAGCAAGGUAAAGAAAUGGAACUGGAUUAGUUGAACAAGCAAGGUAAAGAAAUGGAACUGGCCAAGCACCAUCAUUUCCAAGCACAGCGGAUGCGGAUUCUCCUAGUUAUUCCAGAGUCCUAAUUCUAUCUGCCGGACUUAGAGCCCCAAACAGAUCUUGGAUUCUCUCUACUCAACUUGUUCCUUUGCUUAUCGAGCUUUGAAACAGGUAAGAUGCUAGGCUAAGAUGCACCAGAAGGACUGUUUCCGAAAUCCAUCAGCUAGGCACCUACGUAUAGUAGAACCGCUCCUUAGCGCAACUAACAACUAAGCUUGGCGAGCAUUUCUUUUGUAUAGUAAUUGAAGAGCAUUGCUAGCAGAAAAACAUCAAUUGAACAACUUCCUAAUACGCCGAGUCAAACAGUAAUGGAGUCUCUCUCUUUGACAUAUAAGUUCUUAAUUGCCCCAACGUUAGCUGAAUCAAUCGAGUCGAGCGCAGAGCUAUCAUAGCAUCUAAGUUAUUUGGAUUACCCCACUGGAUUCUGAUUAACCCCUUAUGAAAUCUAUUUCAUCUCGCAUUACCGGCUUCAAUCUAUCUCCUAUUACCGGCUACCUUUUGCUUCCUUACUAGCAGGAUAAGGAUUGCUUCUUCCAACUUAUUGUUCUGUUGCAUGUUAAGAAGAUCUUCUAGCAGGAAAAUAUAUUAGCUAUGAAGCUUAACCAGAAGGAAGAAGAAGAAGUGCGAAGUUCUGACUCAUAACCUUGCCUUGCUUUUUCUAUUUUGCAGUAGAAAGAUAUAAAGCAGUGUGAGCUCCCGAAUAAGCUAUUCGAGGAAAGGAUUCUCAAUCAGGUGGUUCAAGCGGGAUCUGGAAAUAAUGUUUCUGUUCGCAAGGAAAGUAACGUUCUAGGCAAGUAAACGAUAGAAUCAGCGUCAGUUCAAUCUCAUUCUGCACUAACGGGGAGUUCUCUGAGGCUUCUUAACCAGUAAGAUAUGGAUCUGAAGCGGGAAAGGUAGAGUUUCCAGAGUUGGUAUAGAAAUUGGGUAAUACUCAAUCAAUAUGCUUUUCCUCACUUUCGGAUAAAGGUAAUCAUCUAGUACUGUUGAAGCGGUAAGUACUUAAUACGAUUGUUUUCCAGUGCUCAAAGUUAUGAAGAAGUUUUAGAAGAUGGAUCAGGUAGGGAAGACGUAUUAGAUGUGUUCUCUUUAUAUGCUUCUAUACCGAGUGCUCGAUAAGAUAGAUAUGAAAUUGAAAGACGAUUAGAAUCCGGAAAGUCUGUGUAACUUGCCGAUACUAGUUCCAGGGCUAUAAGGUAAGCUCCUUGCUAGGAUGCUCAAGAGAAUCAUCUCUCUAAAUUGCAGACUCUUCGGGGUAUAUUCCUUUCUACUAUGGCAUAGGGAUGGCACUUCCUUGAAACUGUUNNNNNNNNNNNNNNNNNNNNNNNNNNNNNNNNNNNNNNNNNNNNNNNNNNNNNNNNNNNNNNNNNNNNNNNNNNNNNNNNNNNNNNNNNNNNNNNNNNNNNNNNNNNNNNNNNNNNNNNNNNNNNNNNNNNNNNNNNNNNNNNNNNNNNNNNNNNNNNNNNNNNNNNNNNNNNNNNNNNNNNNNNNNNNNNNNNNNNNNNNNNNNNNNNNNNNNNNNNNNNNNNNNNNNNNNNNNNNNNNNNNNNNNNNNNNNNNNNNNNNNNNNNNNNNNNNNNNNNNNNNNNNNNNNNNNNNNNNNNNNNNNNNNNNNNNNNNNNNNNNNNNNNNNNNNNNNNNNNNNNNNNNNNNNNNNNNCCCCCAUAUGCUAAGAAUGAAAAGAAAUAGACUCACGAACGGACUUUGAACAUGGAUUGGAAUUUGACUUGUCGUACCCGACCCCAUCCAAAGUGAUCCAAUGACUUUAUUAGCUUCUUUCUCACGUUGAGUUCUAAUCGAUACAAAGGACAGAGAUUGACAAGCCACUCAACAAACAAGCAAAUUCAGAAUCUCUUCCUUGGGUGGGGGUUAUUCCUCAUUUUAAUCCGAGACAACCGUCAGCAAUGGGGCUAGCUUCUCUUUUCGAGUGUAACUCUUCUCUGAUUAUCUAAGGUUGCACAGCUAUUAUAUAGAUAGUCUACUCCUCAGCGGAAAGAAAGAACCUAAUUAUGCUACUGGUACCUGUAUUCUUGUUACUCUGCAAAGAGCGCAAACGAGAAAGAAUGGUUUUAUUGACUAGAAAGUAGUAAGAAGGUAACUCGACUAGAAAGUGGUAAGGUAACUCGACUAGAAACUAGUAAGGUCACUCCUGUGCCCGUCGGGAAUAAUCCUUUUCUGAUGCUUGGCACCUGUCGGAGAACAUCUUUUCCUAACAUGGGUUGUAGUCGUUACAGCUAUGAAUGGUACAGAACUGCUUCUUUUUCUGACAAUGAAAAGUCAUAACUUAAGCAAAGUGGCAAAUAAGGAACCUUGUGUCAACCCGUCACCGAUAGUGGCCUAUGUUCCAAGAACCAAUGCUACCUACCAAUAAGGUCAUAACCUACCACUGAAACGAUGCCUGCUGCUGAGAAUGCUAAUAUUGUGCAAAAUGCACCUGCGGAGGUGAAUGCUGGUGUGGCUACUUGGCUUGGCUCGCCAUGAAAGCGGACUCUUUCCAAGGAACGUAAUGUAUCCUGUAGUAGAGCGCGAGCGAGAGGAAGAGAAAGGCGGAUUAUCAAAACAAGAACGAGAAGAUCUCGAAUAAGGAAAAUGGGGUUCUUUCGCAGCUAGUGGGUCCAAAAGACAUGAGAAAAGCAAGGUGCUGAAAGCCUUCACCCAUUUUCUAAGAUCUAUUGAGUGAGUAAGUAGUCUAUAACUUCCGUAUUCUCCUUCUUUGACUUCCCCUCCAAUUCUGCUCUAUAACUAAAGUCAUUCUCUAUCACUAAAGGCGCCUACCUAUUCUUAAAGGUGCCAACACACCUAUUGAUUUCUUGAAACCACUCGGCUACACACCUAUUGAUUUCUUGAAACCAUAGUAUGGUGCAUCGCAACAAACACUUUGUUUAGUAUCGCAUGGCACGCGCAACCACCACAUGGCCCAGAGAAACACACACACCAUACACAUACCCAAGGGAGAAACUUAGGACGUAGUGGAUCAUUCACCCAUGAAACGAUGGUAGUAUCGCCCCUAAAGUCAAUCGCUCGGUCAUUCAACGGUCGGUCGUCCCGUCCACACACUCAUUCAUAGCAAUGGUCAAUACACUCUGUCUUCGGGAGAAACAACGGUCGGUCGUCCCGUCCACACACUCGUUCUGUGCUCUGGUCCAGCAACUACGUCCCGUCUUCGGGCGUACGUAAUUAACUUAGUCUUCGGGCAACCAUCGGACCAAUCAUUCGCAGACCCCGAGGCACAAUUCAAUCAUGCAUUCAUAGGUAGGCGUUGUUGGGCACUAAAUCAUUCUUCCGGCAGUUCAUUCUUCCGGCAGUUACGCACAUUCUUAAAGUAGAACCGAUCAUUCCUCGGGCACCGUAGCUCACGCAUCAAAGGUUCAUUGGACAUCCUUCGCUUCGUGGGUGGGAGCAACAACAAUAAGGUUUCACAGGGGCAUUCGUUCUUUAAGUAACUACGCUCAGCCUCGGAGUACCUACGCUUAUUCUUUCCCUUAAGUGAACAUAGCAUUAAUAGGGUUGUUGUUCGUGCACCUACUCGUUUAGUAAGCGAUAUAAUUCACCAUCGGCGGCGCCAGGUUAUUAAGUGGGUUCGUUCUGCAAUAUAACUAUUUGCCCCCACUUAAUCAUUCUCAUUCUGAAAGUGACAUAAAAAAGUAUUAGUUGGCAUGGUCGGCGAACUCAUUCUUUUGCCUAGUUUCGGGGUAAGUUAACUCAUUCCUUCGGUGGGUUAACAAAUUAUUGAAGCUCCAAUUAACUCACUCAGUAAUCGAAGGUACCUUGUGGUUCAUUAAUAGAGCGGUCGGUCGUGCACCAACUCAUUCAUCGGUCGACACAACCAACGUGCAUGUGGUCGGCACCGCCACAACAAAUAUAUCGUGAUACAGAAAACAACUACCAUUUGAGAAUCCAAAAGUGAUAUAGAAGUCACCCUAAAACAAUGAACCUUUUCUUUCUACUCAAGUACUUAGCGAUGUAAACCUGGACCGGAUUUCUCUAAGGUUAACCCGAUUCGAAUAGCUUAUUUACUUAGCGCUGAAGAAGCCCAUAAGAGGUAAGGGCAAGAAGUGGAGUUACCUAC